RNAcentral lists this long non-coding RNA (70604 nucleotides) under Citrus sinensis (sweet orange). RNAcentral describes it as "long non-coding RNA (CSIN_LNC001303)". Lineage: Eukaryota; Viridiplantae; Streptophyta; Magnoliopsida; Sapindales; Rutaceae. The record is from RNAcentral.
UUUUUUGUCAAUUCAUGAGCAGCUCUUUUAUUGUUAAACAAGAAUUCAGGACAUCUUAGUAUUUGUAAUUCUUUCAAGAAUGGAAAUUCAAUAUGCAGAUCUCCUGUGCAGAAGCUUGUGAGCUUUCUAAGAUCUCUCAUCUUUAGAUAUAGAGGUUGCAGCAGCUCUGACUCAUCUUUGGCGAAUGAGGCCCUUAUUUGACCUGCAGCACAACACAGCAAGCUCUUUACCACUUUAUAAGAAUUUCAAGUCUUUCUCUUUUCUUUAGCAACACAGAAGUGAAUUAAUGGGCAUUGUGUACUUAUGAAGGGAAUGAUUACAGGAUCUAAGCCCCUUCUACAUCACUACAUGCCUUAUGUUCUUUCCAGAAAAGUAACCCUCUUGAUGCUCUACGUAUUUUUCUCACAUAGGCUGCAAUUCAUUUGAUAGAAUAUUUGUAUCCGUAACUGUUGUGACUAUAGAGUGGUACCUUGGUCAUAGCUGUCGGCAUUUAUAUCUGUUUCCCUGGUAUCUGCGGCAGGUAACCCUCCUUGCCUAAAAAGAGUAGAGAUGCAAAUGCUAAGAUCUUUCACAUCCAAUCACACAGCAUGAAUACUAAUUACACCAACCAUAGUGAAAUGCCAGCCUAAUCAUAAUAGAAUGACACUUUCGCGUCGAAGUCCUGGCUUUGACUCUUGAUGAUAACCACAAAAUGGUGAAAAACCAAGCGAGGAUUUGUAAUAUAUAGCAGUAAUAUAGAAGAUAGAAAUUCAGGACUAUAUUUAAGCUUCUGUCAAAAGUUGUAUCAUAUUUUCACCAUUUGCAUCCCCUGCUGUACCGUACAUCCGCCUUGGCCGUACAGCAGAUUAAAACUCCAAACCCUGUAAAACUAGAGAAAUGUGUUCAAAUAUGUAAUAAAAAUUGAACAAUUAAUUAUAAAAAUCUUGUACGUACCUUUUUUGUCAAUUCAUGAGCAGCUCUUUUAUUGUUAAACAAGAAUUCAGGACAUCUUAGUAUUUGUAAUUCUUUCAAGAAUGGAAAUUCAAUAUGCAGAUCUCCUGUGCAGAAGCUUGUGAGCUUUCUAAGAUCUCUUAUCUUUAGAUAUUGUAACUUAGGGAACAUUACAAUAUUAUUCUUGCUUUCUUCUUGGUCGAUGACUAUUAUCUCUUUCAAGACAGGACACUCACAUAUCUCAAGGCAUUGGAGUCCGACAAAGCUGCUAAUUAUUGAAGAUGUAAAUAGACAGGUUAAAUUCCAACAGUUGAAUAGAAUCAGGCGCUUUAAAUUCUGAAUACCACAGGACAUGGCUGCAACUUGGUUUUGCCAAAUCCUUUCAAUAUUUAUUGAAGACAAGUACAAGGUCUCCAACUUCGGUAAUGCAACCUGCGCCAUCACAAAGUUAACUUCCUGUUAAUAUUCGUUUUACAUAACGCCAUACUAUUAGUAUUCACAAAGUUAAGUAUUUGCUGCACCUUAUAACUCUCUGAUGAAAAGUUUAGAACAAUUUUGGAAAACGGAAUAUGAUUAUUAACUACUCUUGUCCAUAUUUACUACUAACAAACUAGAAUAAUACAGAACAAAAAAAAAUAAGUAAAGAAUUAAUAAAACCAUUGAGACUUAUUAAUAACUAACCUUCUCAAGAAAAAGUGCCUUGGAAAUAUUGAUAUUGUCCUCCACAAUGAUUCCAUUUAACCGCAUAUUAUUUGUCAACUCCUUAUGUCUCUGUUAUGACAUUGAAAGCAUUUUGAGUUUAGAGCAUGAGCUAAUUGUGAAUAUAAACUUGGAUGCAUAAUGGCACAAGAUCAAUAAAUUAUUAAUGCAACUCAAAUCAAUACUAGAUCUAAAUUUACUAUUUUAUAUUCCUUAAUUAAGAUUCUAAAAAAAUUAAUAGUUAACUUAAAUAUGAAAAAAUGAAAAAUUAAACUUAGUAUCUGAUUUAAAUUAGAUAAAAAUGAAUAUUCUCUUCUUUUGUUUUAAUUAACCUCAGCAGAAUAAGGGAAGCUUUAUUACUUAAAAAAAAUAACCGGUUUAGAUUAGAUAAAUAACGAUAUAUUUACUACAUCAUCUAGAAAAGACAGGAGUUGGAGUUGCCCUUGCACCCUUUUUUUCUUUUUUUGCCUCACCCUUAUUAUCAAGAUUCUCAUUCCUUCUCUUUUGAGCUUUGAUCAUUAUUCUCAAGCAAUUUUGAGUUCCUGCUCAAUACAACUUGGGAGGGCGAUUUCCGCCACAUUCUAGUUGGAAGAACCAUCAACACAAGAACUUAUGAGUUAGCUCCUGAAUCGUCAAAUCGACCACUGAAUUUCCAUAAGGCAAUAAUUAGGUCUUGCGUUUAAGUGUUUUCGGUGACCCCACGAUGUCCAUAUUCACAUCAACCGGAAAUCUCUCCAAGUUAUUAAACAAGGAACUUCAUUCGCUCCAUCUGAAUCCUUAGAACUAAAGUCAUCGCCUUCAAUACUCCUCGAUUCAGAAGCUGCAAAACUUUGUGAGCCCCCUUGUUUAUCAGAAUCCUUAACUUUCUCCACCCUUUCGUCAUCUCAAUUGAUGUUAAAACUUGAUUCACCAUCUUAUUCCUGCUGUACGGCCAAGGCGGAUGUACGGUACAGCAGUUUUCUGUGAGAAUGUAUUUGUUGCACCCUACAACACUUGGUAUUAAAAAUCAUAUAAUUAUUAAUUACUCUUCUGCAAACAAACAAGAAUACCGAAGGACAAAAAAGCAAAAAUCAGAGAAUUAAAAAGGCCAUUGGGUUAUUAAUAACCAACCUUCUCAAGGAAAAGUGUAUUAGAAAUAUUAGCAUUGUCCUCCAAAAUGAGUUCAUUUGACUGCAUAUCAUUUGCUGAUUCUUCCUGUCUCUGUCUCUGUCAACAUUGAAGGCGUCUUGAUUUUAGAGUAUAAAUUUAACUGUAAACACAAUCUUUAAUGCAAAGUGACAAAAUAAUAAUAACAAUAAUAAUAAUAACAAUAAUAAUAAUAAUAAUAAUAAUAAUAAUAACAACAACAACAACAACAACAACGAUGACAAUGAAAUUAAUGGUUAGAUAUUUUUGUCAAGAUUUUAAUACUAACCGCACAACUUUAAGUUAUUGUAAAAUAACAAUAUGGUGCAACAAACACUAUGUAGUGUUAACAUGUAUAUGUUUAUUGUCUUGAUUUUGAUGAUAACAAACUUUAUAUGUUUUUUAUUUAAAAUGUUGGAGUUUUCAUUAAUAAACAUUUUCUUAAAAGCUGUACAAUAUUUCUAAAUGAGUUCAUGAAAUAUGGAUAAUUGUUAACCUUAAUUGAAAAAUCAUUCCCUACGAAAUUCUAUUAAAAUUGCAAUUCUAGAAAUAAACGAUGAACCAUUAAUAUUGAAAUGGUUAACCGAUAAUUUCCAGAGAGGGAUAAUCCUUAAACUUGAACCAGUUAGCAAAAACGGAUAAGGCAAAUGUGUUUUGCAGGUUACUGGAAUUAAACGGCGAACCAUUUAUAUCAAAUGGCUAACCGAUAAUCUCCAGUAUGGAAUUUUGUGCUAACCUUAAACCGUUUAACAAAAAUGGAUAAGCUUAUUUUGUAUUGCAGGUUACUAGAAAUAAUUGGCAAACAGUUAACUUCAAAUGGCUAACCAAUAAUUUUCAGUCAUUCCAUGCUAACCUUGAACCGUUUAACAAGAACAGAUAGCCGAAAUUUAUUUUACAAGUCUAUGGAAAUUAAUGGCGAACCGAUAGUGGCAAACGGUCAACUGUUUAUUUAAAUUUAAGCUCAAUGGUCACAUUGAUCAAUCAACUCCCUUGCUACCCAUUUGAAUUCACUACCUUCAAUAUAAUCACCUGCCAUCUUCUUGAAAAGACUCCAAGCUUCAUCUUCUUUUAAAACGCCAACCGAGAAAUUCUGUUGGGAAUCCAUACGAGAAAUUUUGUUGGGAAUCCAUCUUUCUUGACAAUACAUCUAGACUUCUGGCCGUCAACAAUACUUUACUUCCCUUGUGACCAUCUCCGUGAGGAAUUCCUACAGCCUGGAAAUCAAGAUUUUCCCAAAUAUUAUCUAAGAUUACAAGGAUCCUCUUCUCUUUCUUCAGUCGGUUACAAAGACUUCUUGCUCUUCCCGAUUCGGUCUCCUCAUGAAGUGUUAGGCCUAAUUUAUCAGCAAAUUCUCCUUGAAUCUUUCUUAUGUCUUGAAUUUGGGACACCUCGACAAAAAUCACCUGAUCAAAGAGCUUCUCAUUCUCGGCUUUUCUUGCAACUUCCUUCGCUAGCGUUGUCUUUCCAAUGCCGCCCAUUCCAUAAAUUCCAAGCAUGUUGACAUCAGGAUUUUUUAAUGCAUCAAGUAUACCAUUCAAAGUGGACAUUCUUGAUUCAAAAGCCUCAUAGUCUUUGUUGGACAGAAGCAACGAAUCAUCCGGAAUGAUGUUGUAGGAAAUUCUAUCAAACCUUCCAGCUUCCCGGACUUUGACAAUAGCCUCCUUCUGCCUCUCUGCUUCCUUACUAAGUCGACGGCGGAUCUUCAAAUUAGGACACAACCCCUUGAAGCAGCGCUUGUUUGCUCUAGCAUCAACGCCUGUAAAUUUCUCCGCUUCAUCAAUGACCCCAUUCACGCUUGCGAGCCACUUCUCAACGUACUUUUCAAUCUCUUCCCCUCUUCUUUUAGCCUCAUCAACCUCACGCUGUUUACUUACCCUCUCAGCCUCCAGAUUCCCAACUUCAGUCUUGAGAUUCUGCAAAUUGCUAGUGUACUUGCUCUUACGCAAAUAGCUCAUUUGGCGAUAUAUAGGAGGAGCCAAGCACUUUGCAGCUUCUACAAUAACAGAAAGAAUGAUAUCCGCCAUCUUCAAUCUUUUCCUUUCUUUUUUUCUUUUCUUUUUUUUAAUCAAUUUUUGAAGAGCAAAUAGAGACAGAGCAGAGACAACGACUGAACAAUGGGUUAAUUAGUGUUGUUGAGGACAGAAGAUUGAAGAAGAGGGCUUCUUGAUCCUUUUGUGAAAAUUCAAAGGAGUAGAUGGCAAAAUGGGGCAAUGCUGAAUAACAACAACAACCACAAUGAAUUGUGUCUAUAAUGUUGGUUUGUGUCAAAGUCAAAGAAAGUUCAUUGAGAUAAAACCUGGGUGUCACGACUCUUGUGGGUCAGUAACAGCUCAAAUUUCUUCCCCUUACUAAUCUCGUGAAUGUGAAGUUGAUAUUUUUCUUCCAAUUUCAUUUUAAAGGUAGGGAAAGUGAUCAUGGAAGGAGGACAGUUCUACUAUGAAGCCAUGAUUAGUGCCUUUAUUAUUAAAAAAGUACUGAUAUUUGAAUGCUACCGGAUGCGCUCCUUGAACAAGUAUCUGGCUCAAUCUGAGCCAUCGGUGUGUACCGCGAGAAUAAUCUUGUAACUAAAGCACCAGCCCCUCGGCUCACUUCAGCUUGUCAAACACAAAAAUAAAAUAAAUGAAGAACUAUUUAUGUUAACGAACCACUGUACACAUUGUUCAGAUUACAGUAUUGUCGUUUCUAUCAAGACGAUGUCUUUUUGAUGGCUAAACAUCAUUUUUCUUAUUCAACCUGAACAGAAGAAUCUGCGAUGUAAUCGAAGGAUGGAAAUUCAAUAUGCAAAUCUUUGAGACACUUGUGAUCUUUUCAAGAUCUUCUAUCCCAAGAGACUUUAACUCAAGGAACUUGGGUAACCUCAUAGAUUAAUGUAUUUGUUAUACCCACCUCACAACCGAUUGAAAUGAAAAAUUUUGAAUAAUUUUGGACUAUGAUUAUUGAUUAAGGGCACGGAUUCAUGGCCUCUUAACUUUGUACAAGAUUUGAAAAGUUUUUUAACCAUUAAAUUAAUGGUACAUUUGUGGUGGAGAUUAAUGGAGACGAUGACAUAGAUUAUUGCCCUCUUAAAAAAAAAUCUCCUUUUAUGUUUUAAAAUCUAAAUUAAAUUAUUUAUUUUAUUUUUUUAUAUAAGAGGUGAGAAAGUAAGAAGAAUAAAUUUUAUAAUUAAAAAAUCUGCCCAAAAAAAUGUUUCAAUUACAAAUUUAAAAAACUUUUUUUGGAAAAGAAAAAAAUUAUACGGAGAUGAGACGUGCACAAUAAAAAAAUAAAAUUGAAAAUUAGAGUUUAUGAUUUAAUUAAAGUUAAAUUUGACAUUCAACGGUGCAAUAAGAAAUAUGGGUUUUAAGAGAUUUAGAAAUUAUAAACGGGUGCCCAAUAAUCCAACUCUUUACUCUUUUGUACCAUGAGCUUGUGUAAGUUGGUACCAAAGCAGCAUCCUUGCCCAGAUGUAUCUAGAAGAAUUUGGAGUGUAUUUAGUAACAAUAGGAAACAUUUGCAGAGAGAAAAAUAAGUGAGGCCCAUUUAGAGAUGCUCACAUUUUUCAAAAUAUUCAUAAAUAAUCCACCCAAAAAAAUGAUUCACCUUUUAUAAUAAUUCAUAAUUGUAUCAAUUUUUUAUUAAAUAAAUUGGAAUUUGAGUUAUUUUUAUUUAUGGAUAAUGUAUAAACUUAAUCUCAUCCAUUUGUCUUUUAAUUGUAUUGUGUAUUCAUGAAGCCUGCAAAUUGCUAGAUUGCUAAAACAAUUGCCUCUCAUCUCCUGUUUGAUUGCUUAAACUAGAAUUGAAAUUUGACUUACCAUCACUAUCAAUGAAAUGAAUCCUAGAAUUAUUUGAAAGAUACAAUAAGAACAUGUGUAAGUUCUGCCAUCAAUUUCAGAUCAAAUUAUAUCAACCUCCACAAUAUAUAUGUCUCUUCAGUCAUCACAGCAUUGAAAAGUUCAAAAAAAAAAAAAAAUGGCAACCCCAAGUCCCAACUGCCACAAAAUAGACAAAGCAACUUACUUCAACACAUUACACCUUCUAGAAUACAUCAAUGUGCUCAACAUGGUAGCUAAGAUUUCACAAGAAAGAAAGAUAAUGAUUUAUUAAUUAUAUGUGCAUAUGUAACAAGAAAAUUUAAUUUUCAUCUUCAAAGCUAGACUUCAGUGUUUUGUGAUGCAAUGGAGGGUAUCUGCGACUCAACAAGGAUUGACCAGAGGACAUGCACAUCUUCACAUUGGCAAGAUUUCACAUCAUCAUACAAAAUGUAUAUCCCUUUAUCUGAAAAAUCGCAAAACAGAUGAUCAAAAAUUUGGCCGAAAAGAGAAAGAAGGCAAAGAUUUCACAAGCUGAAACUAAAACACAUUGGUGAAAUAUGCACAAGCUGCAAAUGAUGAUGCAUUUUGUAUAUGUCAUGCAAUGCAUCAACAAAUACAUUUUGAACAAUCAAAACAGGAAGACAGUUGAAAUCAAUCAUAAGUUGUAGGGCGCAAUUAAGUACUCUUUCUCUGAGUCGAAUGCAGGCGAAACCAAAGCUUCUUCAAUGGAGAGAAGAGGGAUUGCAGCAACCCCAUUUGAAAUAUUAGGGAAGAAAGUGCUUCAUGGUAGGUGAAAGAACAAGAAUAUAGAGAGCAGGGAGAAUAACUGUUGCUGUUGUUGCUUUGCUUAGACAGUGGUGAAUUACAGAUUACUAUUUGUAGCAGCAUUUCAAUUAUUUGCAGCCGAAAGGUUGUUUAAACUAUUUUAGUUUAUGGUGUCAUGUUAUUUUCUGUCCUUUUACAAGUGUAAGAGGGAACCCUCUUCAGACAGUAACAAUACUUGUAUGUACUCUUCUAAGUAUUUAUUGCUCUCCUACAUUUUCUGCUGCCUUUGUACAUCAAGCUACAAUUUCAGAUUAUUGUAUCAUUUGAUUGACAGUACCAUGAUUGUUGUUUGUUUUAUAUUUGUGGUCCAUCUCUGUUCUAUGAUCUAAACAGAAUGGGAUUUAUUUUCGUCGGUGGGGAAAUGUGAAGUUCAUGCCAGACUAUGAGAUGAAAAGUUGCAUAAAAUAAGGCAACAAGAAAUCUGAUUGAUAAUGAUGAGCUACAGCCUCAGUGUAAAGGUUAUUCAAUACGUAGAGUUACAUUUGAGGUAAAAACUAAAAAGCUAUUGUAGCUCUUACCAGAAAUUACAUUAAUCUGAUAGAGUUUGUUAAACCGGUACAACUCAUCCCACUUGUGUUUCAGAGUCACUUUGAAAAAGAAAUGUAAGGUGCCAUUUUUUUUGACAAUGGUGAAUCUUUCCCAGCAGAAAAAGGACCCCAAAAUUCAGUAAACAAUCUUUACAAAAUCACUCUCCACAAAAUUGGCUCAAAACACAUGGCAGGGUAUUUAUAGUAGACUAGGAUUCAAUAAUGGAACUUUACAAUGGGAAUUAAACAUGUAAUAAUAAUAGGCUGAGUAUGCAUUUAUAUGACUGCACAGAGGAUAAACAAGAUAAACAGAAAUGCAGCGGCUCCAAGAAUUAUGCCAAUGGUCCAGCAAAUCUUCCAUAGCAAAGUCAUUGAAAUGAAAGAACUUCGUCGUAUGGCCUGCUCAUUCAAUCAAAUAAGGUCAAAAAGAUGGAAGUCAGGAAUAUGCUUGAGUGAUAAAAUAGUUCAGUUAUAUCUAAACUCAAUGCCUGCAUAUGGCUUUGGGUAGCAUCUUCUGAUUGCAUGGGGCAGAAACAUCAUUUGGGAUGGUCGGAUGACUUACAGUAACAAUUUUACAUUCAACAACUUAAGCAGCUUAGCUUCAGAGACUUACCACAAGAGGUUGCAGCAGCUCUGACUCAUCUUUGGCGAAUGAGGCCCUUAUUUGACCUGCAGCACAACACAGCAAGCUCUUUACCACUUUAUAAGAAUUUCAAGUCUUUCUCUUUUCUUUAGCAACACAGAAGUGAAUUAAUGGGCAUUGUGUACUUAUGAAGGGAAUGAUUACAGGAUCUAAGCCCCUUCUACAUCACUACAUGCCUUAUGUUCUUUCCAGAAAAGUAACCCUCUUGAUGCUCUACGUAUUUUUCUCACAUAGGCUGCAAUUCAUUUGAUAGAAUAUUUGUAUCCGUAACUGUUGUGACUAUAGAGUGGUACCUUGGUCAUAGCUGUCGGCAUUUAUAUCUGUUUCCCUGGUAUCUGCGGCAGGUAACCCUCCUUGCCUAAAAAGAGUAGAGAUGCAAAUGCUAAGAUCUUUCACAUCCAAUCACACAGCAUGAAUACUAAUUACACCAACCAUAGUGAAAUGCCAGCCUAAUCAUAAUAGAAUGACACUUUCGCGUCGAAGUCCUGGCUUUGACUCUUGAUGAUAACCACAAAAUGGUGAAAAACCAAGCGAGGAUUUGUAAUAUAUAGCAGUAAUAUAGAAGAUAGAAAUUCAGGACUAUAUUUAAGCUUCUGUCAAAAGUUGUAUCAUAUUUUCACCAUUUGCAUCCCAUACAUAAGGCAGUAAAAAUUUGGUUUCUUUCAUGCCAAUUACGUACUGUCAUAAAAGCUACGUAGAAUGGACAAAAACAAAAUUUCUGUGGUUAGAUGAUACACCAUACAAGAACCAUAUAUCAGCCAUAACACAGUGCUUGGCUCAGCUAGUUUUCAAGAAGCAUAUGAUGAAUAAGAACAUGCCAACAAGUUCCAAACCUCCUUGGCAUCGGAUAUGGCAUUGCAUAGAGUCUGACGGCAAGUGCUUUCAUUCUCAGCUGGAUAUCCGACAGCAUUUUCCAUCGCGAUUCCAAAUCUUCAUUCGUUCUGUAAAUGCACUGCAACACCAGAUUACUAUCCAAGCAAUAUCACUAUGCAAUUGCAAACACCAUCUAAAUGCAAUGCAUUCUGGUCCAUAAACAGAUGAACUUCAACACAAGAUCGGGAUUCAUACAAAACGAAAUCAAGAAUCCCCUUUUCUGUUCAGAAUCAAUUAUCAUAAUAAACAAUCUAUGUCUAAUCUAACAAAAAUUCAGCACCAAAACCAUGAUGCAGAGACUAAUAGAAACUAAAACAAACAAAUUAAUUUUAACACUCACCAAGUGAAACAAAAAAUAAAAAAUAAAACAAAAUCAAUCAAAAUAAGGAACAUACAAGAUGGGUUUUGAAGGUGGGUUACGAAGAAGUGAUUCAAGGCGAUCAAGCUUCACUCCAACUUCCAAAAGCUUGGAUCUAGCAAUUAUGUCAUCGCUGAGACUUUGUUGCUGCUGUUCUUGGCUUUUGUUCUUGACUCUGCCAUCUAUCUCUUCCACCAACUUUUCAGCCUCUUGAGCUUCUCUUAACCAUGCAUCUACAACUAGAUACUGCUUAUUGGCCAUUACAAAACAGAACUCGCUGUCUGACGCUGUACUUGUAAGAUAAAUGAACAAAGCGCAAACAAACAAACAACAGUUGUUGCAUGAAUCUCUGUCUCUGUUGCGCUUGCUACACAAAUUAAUGUCCAGUAACUAAUUAUUAAUUAUUUCGAUAUAUAUGUAUACACACACACACACAUGCAUACAUAUUAAGGAGUUUCUUAAGCUGUAAAAUCCUCAAGACAUAUUUGUGGUAUGAUUUUUAAUGUGAAGUUACCAUAAUUAAUUUCCAGCUGCUAAUAGAUUCGGCAAUGAAAAUGAUUUGUUCAUUUUGUUCUUUAGCCUUCAUCGGGUGGGAUGGAGUCAUUUUGCACAUGAGAAGCAAAUUCAACUUAAAAUUUGCUAAGAAUUUGUAAUCGUUUAAUUUGUUAAUAAGAUUUGUCAUAUGAUAAAGAUAAUUUUAUUUAUUUAUAGAUAGAUUAGAUGAUGACAAUGAUAUGUAGGUCUAUUAUCUAAUUACGUACAAAACAAUUUUCUAUGGAAGUACGAAAGUAUGAUUGAAUAACAACCAUUCAUUUUGUGACAAAUAAAUCAAGAUUAACUUGAAAUAUUUAUUUUGUGACAAAUAAAUCUUGAUUAACUUCAAAUUAAUAUGUAUAAGCAUAAUUAACUCUACAAUGAUCCUAGACUUUGAAAAAGAAACUAAAAUAAUAAUAGUAGUUAGAGAAUAUUGUAACGAAGAAAUUGUCAUUAUUUAAUCAUAUGGGCUGGGUUGCAAGCCGAAUUUAUAAUCAAGAUUUAAAAAUUUUCAAUGACCAACUCAGUGUUCCUCUAGUAUUGAAGUUUGAUGUUGAAUCUUAAAAGUUAUAAUACUAUAGAAUUAUAUAAGCAUUAAUUGUUGUGGUUUAAAAAUUAAUUAAUUUGAUCUCACUCUUAGAUAGUGAAAAACAUGUACUAUUUGUUGAAAAUUAAUUUUAAAAAAAAAAGAGAAAAAAAGGAAAUGAACAGUAACAUAGUUUUACCAUGCGGCUUGAACAGUAACGCAACAUUAACAGUAACAUGGUAUGAAUAGUAACGUGAUUUGAACAAUGUUAUUUGUUUGAUUAUAAAUAUGAGAGUCUUUUAUAAGUUUUCAUAAUCUGAGAAAUAAUCCAAAUUGAGAGGAGGGAAAUGUUCUUAAGCAUGUAGUUAUAUUAAAGAAGCAUUUGGCUUCUCAAUAUGGGUAUUAUGGAUUUGCUUUGUUAAGGGAUAUUUCUCGAGAUUAUGUAUUUAGGGCUUGGGAAAGAGAAAAUUAUUUCUGAAAAUGUGGUUGUAAAAAUUUUUCAUAUAGUGAACAUUUUUCUUUGGUUGUCUUUUGACAAUAGCCAUGGUUUUUCUCCGAAUUUAAAGUUUUCCACAUAAAUCUUGUAUUGUGUGAUUGGUAUAUUCUUCAUUUACUUUUUCUAUUAAUUUAUUAUUUGGUUAAUUUAUUAUUUGGUAAAUUACUUGGAGUGAUAUUGAGAGAAAACUCAAUUUCCUAACAAUAUCUUUACUAUUUUGUUAAAAUUAUUAUUUAAAUAAUACGUAUUAUACAUUAUUAAUUGUUAUUUUACAAUUAUAAUUUUUUUUACAGCAAUUAUGAUAUAAAAGAUAUUACACCUCAAUACUAAACAAUACUUAAAUUUAAUUUAAUCUCAUUAAAAAAUAUAAAAAUAAAAAAAGACUACAAAGUUUACUGUUUUACUUUCUUUUUCUUAAAUGUCAAAAGUUAUAAAUAGCCAUCAAAUGUACUAGAUCCUACAUCAUUGCAUUUGCAGCAAUGGGAAGAAAAAGAAGAUAGAAAUGAUAGAUACUCAUUUUAAUAAAAAAUAAAAAUAAAAAAUAAAUAAGGAAAUAAGGAAUGGCAGUUCUCUUUGACAAAAAGUUGAGAAAGCUGCUUUGCAUUCAUCAGUCAUCACAUCACCCUUUCCUUUCUUUUUUGGUACUUGAAGACAUGCUUGUUUGUAUUUUGCCAAUUAUCCUUAAUUGAAUUAUAUGUGCAAAAUUAAGCUUAUAAGUAAUUUCGUCUAUUUCACACUCACAAUGCACCAAUCUAAUUAUAUAGCUCUUUUUUAAGGAUGUUAAAGUUGGAGAUUAGCUAAAUAUUGUCACAUGAUAACAUCGCUCAUCAUAGUGUGAAAAAUAUUAUCCACUAAAUCUUUAUUAUUUAUUUAUAUACACACAAACAUUUUUUAUCGAUAAUUUAGAAGUACUUUAAUCUAAGAUUGAGGUCAUUAAAGUCAUAUAUUUUUUAUUAUUACCAAAUAAGUUUCUCUUCACUUUUCUCAAAAUUAACAAGAUCUUUUUUGUUGUCAAUUUGUUCAUUAAAAGAUCAAUGAUGAAAAUUUAGUAGGAUCUCUAUAAGCGAAUUAUAUUAUACGGUACUAGUAGCAAAAUAUUAAAUAAAAAAAUGACUUCAGUCAACAUUGAAAGCGAUUUUAGUUCCAUUCUAGAUAAUCAAACAUUUUGUUUUCUUGUUUUAUAAGUUAGAUUAAACAAGAUAAAAAAAAAUGCCCAAUAAUGCACCUUUAAAUUCUAAAUAUUGCUGGGUAUUUUUAUAAGACAGUAUAAAACUUUCACCUUGAUGUAAUAAGGGUUCUUCUAAAAAUACUCUUAAAUUUAUCCAAAGUCUACUUGUAACAAUUGGUUCAAAAGAUGCUUAAAAAUUGGGCAAGCACGAGACAAAUUGAACAAAAGUUGACAAAAUGUGAUAUAAAAUCAAUUAUACAAGAGAGCGUAGAAUAUUUUAGUAGUGUGCAAUGAAUGUGAUAUGGUUUAAAUUUUAAUUUAUUACUUUUUUUGUUAUGAUGAUUGGGCCUAUGUCGGUCCAAUUAUGACACGUUGCAUGUGGUAUAAGCUAAGUAUUUCUAUUUAAUACGCAUGUAAUUUAAGGCACUUCAUUAAGGGCAACACACCCAAAAUAAUUUACUAACUAAAGUAAUAAAAUAAAUUUGAAAAAAAAAUAAAAAUUUGAUAAGUGAUUAAGAUGGACAUGGAUGGAGCCCAUGGUACUUAAAAACUUUUUUGUCCAUGCCUAACCCACGAUUGACUUGAUGGUUGGGUAGACCCACAUGGCACAUAUUUCAUUAAUGAGAUUACAAUGCAAUUUUGUGAAAAUCUUUUUUCUUUUUCCUGAUUUUUUUUUAAUGCCUUUUGAAAAUGAUUGUUGCUUGACUUUUUGCAAAUGUUAUUUUUGAAACUUGCCAAGAUGUUAUCUUUGUUUUACACAUGUGAGUUUUUGAAAUAGUCCAACUUUGCAUGCUUAGUUUUUGUUUUCUAUCACAAAAUUGACUCAUCUCUACUUUUUUUUUUGGUUAUAAAACAAAAACUUAUUUUUCCCUCUUUCAUGGUCAUAUAAAGAAUCUGAUUCAAUUUGAUCUAUUAAAUAGAGAAUCAUCUAUAGUAAUUUGUACUAUUUGCAUAAUUUUGGUCUCAUAUUUGACUGUUUAGAGAUAAUACUAGAGAUACAAAUAUCUCCUAAAAAUUAUGUUACAUCAAAGUAUUAAUUAAAUGAAAAACACUAGACUCAAUAGUAUGUGUCAUAUGGCAUUCAUAUAAAAAUGUCACGUCAAUUUUCAUAUCGUAGUUUGAACAAAGAGUUAAAUUUUUUUUUUAUCAAAAUUAAUGAGUUAUAAACGAACAAACGCAUCAUUAUAAUAAGUUUUGUCCCUCAAUUUACUUAUUUAUUUAUUUCUUUUUUAAAAAUAAUUAGUUGGGCUACAAAGGCCCAUGAAGUUAGAAGAUAAUACAAAAUGAGCCCAAUUUGGAAGGUAACGCUUAUCAACCGACCACGGACGUGAGUACCACGUCUUCUUAGUAAGAACUUAUCUUCCCCACAUGCCAUAAUAGCGCGUGCAUCACAUCACAAAAAAAAAUUCCUUCAACCAAUGAUUUAAAUAAUCGAUCUAACUUCUUAAAAAAAAUAAUCAAUCUAAAAAUUCAAUAAUUAUGAACUGAACUGAAAGUUUAAAUGAAUCUAAAUGCAUAUAUGUAAAUAUUAUAUAUACUUAUUUUUAUUUUCUUAAAUUUAUUUUUAUUUUCUUAAAACUUUGAAUAUAACCACGAAGUUCAUUGUUUUUAUUAUUUAAAAACAAAUGAAAAGUAAAAAUUAGCAAUUUGAUAUUUAUAUCAUUUUAAAUUCUUUAUAAAAUAAAAUUAUUUUUAAUUUAAUAGUUAAAAGAAUAUUAAGUAUCACCAUCUUUAAGACUAAGAGUAAAUAAUAUGUAUUGUGUAUUUAAAUAAUAUGUAUUAUGUGACACACAUAUAGUAGCAUCACAUUAAAUUGUAUAUUAUAAUUUAUACAAAGUUCUUAUACAUAUGUGGUACUAAUCUAAAUAUUAUUAAAAUUUAAAUAAUUUUUUUAACAAAGUCUAUUAAUUGCAAAUGAUAAGUACUUAGAUAGUUGACAAAAUUUAAGUGUCACCAUCAUCAAGAUUAAGUGUUAAAAAUAAACAACACAUUUUUUUCCCCAACUUAAAAGCAAGGUUAUUAUUAUUUUAAUUCUAGAAAUAGAAUUACGAACUGCACGCGCCAAAGCAAUGGGAGUGGUGGGAAAUAUUAAUUUCUAGAAGAAUAGAAAAAGGAAUAAAUUGGCAAAAGGGAAAAAAAACCGAAAAAAUCUUAAUCUAAUAUUUAGAUAACGACCACUUAGAAUCAAAUCCACAUACAAAAGAAUUUAAUAUUAAUAAGAUUAAGACACAACCUAUGGGGAUCAUAUAAAUAAAUUAAUUAGUAAUAAGAAAAUGAAAAACUUAUUUUUCAUGAAGAAAGAUUUAGAAAGAGAGUGACGAUUAUUAUUGACCAGGCUGGCAACUACUGAGUCUUUGUUGGUGACCAAAUAUUGGUCAAAUCCACUUAUAACCUUUGAAAAUUAUUUAGUAUUUUGAGCCUAAUUAAACAUACACUUAAUAAAAAUUUAUUACAUGUAUGCUUAUUAAAAUAAUAAUUUAAAAAUUACAACAUUGCAUGUUAAUUGAAAUAAAAGUCUUUUUAAUAUUAAAUUACAGUCAAACGACAUUACAAUCUAAAAAUUAUUGAAUCGAAGAUAAUUUUAAUUUACGUACACUAAAAUCUUUUUCACUUUGUUAAACGCUAUUGAUAAUAUCAAAAGCAUUUCUAAACAAUUUUUUCUUUUAAUUUUUGUAUAUAUAUAUAUUUAUCUCUAAAAAUCUUUAAACGAAUUAUUGUCCAUAAUUAGUUAUUAUUAGAAAUACCUAUAAUUUUUUAAGUAAAAAACAAAAAGUAUUUUAAAACGAUACAUCGUGCAAGCCUUUACAUGGGUGAGUGGUCCCCACACAAGAAGUAGAAAAAGAAACCGUUUUUCUUUUUGGCCACUCAUGGAUCAUGUCAUGCAUUUUCUCUUGCUUUUAUAAAUACAUGCAAAAAUGAACCCACAUGAAAAUUUAAUUUUUUUUAAUUUACUAAUUCAUCCAAUUUUAAUUUUAAACUCUCUAUUUAUUUAUUAUCAUCAUUCUUCUCCCAUUGAAGCUCCUUUAUUCCUUAAUAAUAACUCUUCAUUUUGAAGCUUCUCUUUCAAUUUCAGUUUUGUUAAAAAAAAAAAAAACUUUCAUUUUCAUGUGGGCAUGUCAGCUAAAGUAAAAUCAUCAGACAAAGAAAGAUUCUUUUUUUAGCCCUUUCUUGGUGUUGAGUGAUCUUCAAAUUCCAGUCUUUACAGCAAUAUCCAGUUGCUAAAAAUAUUAUCCUUCAUUUUCAUUUGGUCGUAUUUUUUAAGCUGUCACAAUCUUGAGGUAUAUUUACACUUAUACAUUAGCCUUUUUUAAUUAUUUUUAUUUUGAUGUCAUAGGAUUUUUUUUUUCUAAUUUUAAUUUUUUGUGUUGACAGUGAAACAACUAGUCUACUUUUUGUCUGCUUCUCUAAUUAAGUUUAUUACUUAAUUUUCACUACAUACAUUCUCUAGUUUUGUCUUUGAGUAUAUAUGUGUGUCUCUCAUGUUUUCUUUUAACUUUUAUUUCAUGGGCUUUUUGUGGAAAAAAUGUUUCAGAUUUUAUAUCCAGAUCAAAUCAAGCUUGACGGGCAGAUUUUGGAGCACUUCUGAGAUGGGUUUUCAGCUUUGUCUCUUGUAAGUGGAGGUAAGGGUUUGUUUGUUUCUCUUCUUUACUUUAUGUUCUGCUACUGUUUGGUUUUUAAAUUUCUGAUUUAGUUUUAAUUUUGGCAAUUUAGGUUUCAAAAAAGGGUUGUUAAAAGGCUUGUAUAGAGAGUUUGUAAAAGUGAAUUGAAUUUACUGGGUUAAAAAUGAGAGAUUUUCCAUCUUGUUUUGGGGAAAAUGGGGUACAAGUAGCAGAUUCUUCAUCUUCAAACGCUGCUAAAAAUGCACAGAAUUUGGUUACUUCUGUUUAUCAAGCUCGUAUUCGAGGCAGGUCUUGCUUGAUUACUAUUACAUGGAGCAAGAAUUUGAUGGGUCAAGGCCUUUCUGUGGGGAUUGAUGAUGCUUCAAACCAAUGUCUUUGUAAAGUUGAUAUUAAACCUUGGUUGUUCUCGAAAAGGAAAGGGUCAAAGAGUUUAGAAGCUUAUUCUUGUAUAAUUGACAUCUAUUGGGACCUUUCCUCGGCAAAAUUUGGUUCUGGGCCUGAACCAUUGGAGGGAUUUUAUGUGAGUGUUGUUGUUGAUAGGCAAAUGGUUUUGCUUCUUGGGGAUAUGAGAAAAGAAGCUUUUAAGAAGACUAAUGCCACCCCUGUUCCUUCUAAUGCCGUUUUCGUUGCUAAAAGGGAGCAUCUUUUUGGCAAGAAAGUGUUUUUUACCAAGGCACAGUUUUGCAAUGGUGGGCAAAUCCAUGAUCUUGUGAUUGAAUGUGACACACAUGGAAUGAAUGAUCCAUGCCUCAUGGUUCGUGUAGAUGGAAAAAGUGUGAUGAAGGUGAAGCAUCUCAGGUGGAAGUUCAGGGGAAAUCAUACUAUCUUGGUUGAUGGGCUGCCGGUGGAAGUUUUCUGGGAUGUUCACAAUUGGCUUUUUGGUGCAUCAGUUGGGAAUGCUGUUUUCAUGUUCAAGACAUGCCUCUCAGCCGAGAAGCUGUGGGCUAGUGGACCCCUUUCUGAUCCAAACACAUUGCCAUGGUCAUUCUCGCAGAGAUUCCUAGAUUCCAAGUCUCAAAGUCUUGGUUUUUCACUGAUUUUGUAUGCUUGGAAGAAUGAAUAGAGAUAUCUAGGAAUUUUCUUUGAAUGCUAACAAAAAGUUUUAGUGAGUGGUAUUUUUUUUCGAACUAUGUUAUUUAUUCACAAUUAAAUUGAUUAAAAAUGAGUCCAUUUGUAUUUUUCUCAUGUGCUUUCCUCUUGAGCAACCAUAGUAAUUGAAUGGAUUUGAGACGAUUUUGUUGUUCUUAGUCCGCUGUAUAUCCUGAAUACAUUAAUUAUUAAUUUCAUUCUGUCUUCUACAUUGAAGAUUCAUAAAAAGUGAAUAGCCAUGCUGUUGCAGUUUGAUUUUGUUUAGCACAUAAUGUCUUGUUGAGUUGAAAUAUCCUUUAAUUAUCAAUAUUUGAGCAUGGUAUAUUCUCAAUGUAAAUAUGCCUUCUUUUAUAAAGCCAACUCAGCUAAGUUAAUCAAUCGGUCUCUUAAUCAUUUUCUAUUAGUCGGGUUUGAUUUCCUUCUGUGCAGGAGCUUGAGUUACUGGAUGUGCUUAAUGAUGUUGCACAGACACCUCUGAGUAAAUGAAAACCUACCUUGAGCAGCAGAAAGACUUCUGAUGAUCCAUGGACUUUGGUAUGAAAUUCUUUCUGUUCAUUUUGUCACGUCAGUGAGUAAUAACUACAUGAACUAUAAACUAUUCUUGUAUUUAAUUGAUGUUUUCAAGUACGUAACCUGACAAAAUAUUGGGACUUAGUAUGCCUUGGCUUAUCUUUGUUUGAUGCUUGUUUGGAAAUUGUUGCACCUUAACGUUUGGACUGUUUUACUUUAUUAUCACAGAAUACAUUUCUAUUCUGCCAUUUUCACAAAUUAAGCCUCAGGAACCACAAAAGCUAUGGAUUCAUCUUCAUUUCCUUCCUUUAAAGAAAGAGGACAAAAGAGAAUUCUUUUACUUUCUCUCUACCUUUGCAAUUUUGUAGCUUUGAGCAUUUCACUCAGCCAUUUUUUUCAUUCUUUUUUAUACACAUAGUUUUCUUUUGCUCCCUUAGUCUCGUAUAAAUAGUUAGUUUGAUAAGAUUAAGACAAGUUUGGAGUGGUGUGCAAUUCAUGAUAUGUCCCAACUCAACUUUGCUGCAUCUCUGAAUUGCUGCUUAUGUUUUAGAGGACAGAUGAGCAGUCUAAUAAGAUGUAAGUACCAUUUAUUAGUUAUGUAACUAGAGAUUAUAGGAAGCAUAUUUGAAGGGAAUAAAAUGAUUGUGAAGAAUAAUUUAUGAUGUAAAAAUAAAAACGUAGACAUAAACAAUGUUCCUUGGCAAAAGAAAAUGAGACAGCUACUUUACAUUUUGACUUGGCUGGCAAAGGCCUGCAGCAUUUUUGAAGCCUUCGGCUACAUAUAUUGCCUCUGGUACUUUGGCCUUUUCAUGAGUAUGUCUUGUUGUUUACAGUUUAAGCAUGUUUUUCGAAUUUGAUGCACUGCAAUGUCAUUUUCAAUUUACAUUUUGUUUGGAACCUACUUUUAUGUCAGGGAAUGUCCACACCAUCGGCUCCGGUGCUCUAAGUUCUUGAAUCUUUACUUCUUAAUUUAGUUUCCUUACCUUACCACCUUUUAUCAUAUUUGAAACUCGCAUGCAUAAAGCUAGCUUGGUUGGUAAUAACAAUAGAAGCAUUAUGUACAACUUCUACAUUUAGCUUCAAAUAGAACAUAUUCUCCUAUGCUUUGUGAUUGGUGAAAUAGUGUUUAAGGACGAAGUUACCCACAGCUCCUCCUUAUACCCGCAAACUAUGUGUUUAAUGAUCCCUGUGCUGGUGAGGAAGAUUCAUUUCGAAUUUGUUUUAGAACUCAAGCUUUGUGACAGAGUAAGAAGAAUUAUGAUCUGCACUGCUUAUGAGUUGUUCACCAACCAUGAAUGCAUCACCUGUCAACUUCAUUGUUUGCGUCUCCUCUCUGGUUGACUUGCCGCAGGAGGGUUAUUUUUGGUUCAUAUUCUUUUGAUCCUCUUCUCCCAUUUCAUAGUCAAAAGUUUUUACUUAACCGUGUAUUACAAGCUGUUUAUCUACUGACUGGCAUGGUGAACAAGCAUCAUCCUCAGUUAUCCUUUAAGAGAAGAAAAGGAAAAAAAAAAUUUGCAUCUAUUGCAAAUUCUCUGAAAGAAGAAUUUGGAGGAGUAGAGUAAUCUUUUAUUAUCAUGUAAUUAAUCUAUUCUUUACUUUCCAGUCAUUUGCUCACUUUGUCUUGUUGCUUUUACAAAAGCCUAAUAGAAAUUAUCAAUUUUUGUGAUAGCUACUUUAAAUGUCAAUUUCCAUCCAAUGCUCUUACAGCUAGUAGACAAGUUAUAUCAAAUCAUAAGAAUAAAGAAAUAAUAGGUAGAUGCAUUUCUAAUCAAAUCGUGAAUCAAAAAUAAGAUGAAUUUUUAAUCAAAUCAUAAAUAAAAAAAUACGGGAGAUAUAAAAUUAAUAAUAUCAUCUAUAACAUGACAAAAUAUAUCUAAUAUUCUCUCUUAAUUAUCGAUUAUGAGAUAAAAAAUAUGCCAAGAUUUUCUACAUAAGAUCAAGCACUUUCUUGUAUGAUGUAUUGUUUGCCACUUAUUUAAAAAAAACAAAAGAUAAUAGUUUAAUCAAAAGAUCUUCUAAAUUAAAUACCCUUAAUUUGAUACUACAAUAAUAAUAUAAAAAAAAUUGGUCAAAAAUUGAAACUUAAAAUAAUAUACUAAAGAACACAACAAAUAUAUUUAAAUCGUCGUAAAUCAUUUGGGCCAGCUCAAUUUAUACUGACUCUUUUGGUCCAAUACUAUAUAAGCCCAAUUCCCAAUUCUCUGUUAAUUUCCGAAGCUGAAGGUCGUCUCCGACGCGCUCUGGCGAUUUCUCUUCAUCGAUCUCGAUCCCUCCUUCAUCACAGCAGAGGUAAUUUAUAUUUUUAUUAAUUUUUCUUUAAUUUUUUUUUUUGGGCAUGAUUGGCUCGUGCUAUCCCCUUGUUUGGAUUUUAGGGCAUUUUAUUGUGUUUGUUGUUAAUGCAUUAAAAAUAAUUGAUAGAAGUUUUUAGCCUCGAUUGAAAAAUAGUUUUCACAAACAAUUUGCUGCUUCUGAUGCUGCAAAUGAGUUGAAAUUUUGGCAAGAGAUUUUCGUGUAUGGUGAAAUAUGGAAUUUUUUUUUUUUUUUUGGUAAUGGUAUAUUUGAUAGAAAGAUUGUAAGUCAAAUUGAAUUAUGGUGUGUUUAAGGAGGGAUUUUGCAUCGUUGAAACAAUUUGCUGCUUCUGUUUCGUAGUUUUUGGCUGAAUUAUAGGAAAUUGUUGUUCGGGAACAAAAGGGUCGUAUGAAUGUUUUCUGCAAAGAACAUUGUGGAUGCUUUUUGAGCAAUAAAAUACUUGAUGUACUUUUUUGAGAAGUAUUUGACUGUUGUUUCCCCUCUCCCCUCCCCAAAACAAUUAGCAAAAAAAGAGGAGAGAGUUCAAAGCCCUUUUGUUCCGAUCCUUUUUCCAGCUUUUCGAUAUUAUUGGAUUCUAGCGAAUGAAAAUGGUUAAGCGACCAUUAAAUCACCACAAGUGAACUUGCUCUCAUGCCUUUCUAAUGCUGUGUUCGUUUAGCUUCACAGUGGUUUGGUUCUGGUUUUGUAAAUAUCCUUUGAACUCCUCUUUGACUUUCAAUUUGGUAUAUUUUGGCUCCAUUUGGUAUCGUGAGCCACAUUAUGAAAUAAAAAUUGAUAGUGCUUGGUAAAUAUGAUUUUUAAAUAUUAGCUUUAACCAAAAUAGUAAAAAUUAAUAUUUUUUUUUUAUCCAACAAAUUGGGGUAAAAUCACUUUUAAUUCCAAACUAUAGUUGCAAAUAUUUACCAGUCACUUUAGGGUUGAAGAUGCUAGACAGCAAUACAAAUGGAGUCUUUGACUUUUUAUAAUUUGCAUAAUUAUUAUACUUGCUUUGUUGAAAGUUGAUUGUUAUGUUAUAACAUCUUAGGAUAAUUACAGAGCAAACAUAAUGGAAAAUGAGAUGCUUUAUGUUCAGCAACACAGAUUUGUACUUUGUGAUGUGUUAUAAUGUUGGUUUUACUUAUUAAUUUAUUUUAAUUUAGAGAAAAGAAGUCAAUAAUAUAUAUGAAAGCUAGUAUUCAUUUCAUAGCUCAACAAGCGAAUAGCUGACCAUGAGCACAACCAACACAAGACCGUCCUCCUCGGUGAGCAACACCAUAACAUUACAAGAGCCAGGGAGCAGCCAACAAACUCUGGUCUUGCGGCUUAAUCCAAGGAAGAAGAAGGUAACGUGGAAAGAGGGAACUGUAGACAAUGAAUUCAUGGGAAAGAAGAGUUCCAAGAAGUGCUGCAUCUUCCACAAACAGAAGCCCUUUGAUGAAGAUAACAGUGAUGAAGAAGAUCACGAUCACCAUCAUCAUCAUCAUGACCACAAAUGUAAGGACGCUGGUGAGCCGUCGACCAGCAAUUGAUUGAUUGAUUGAUUCAUCAGGAUCCAUGUAAGUGUACAAGAAGCCAUUGGAUUUGUUUAUGUAAAAUUAGGGGAAAAUUGCUGAAUUUGGGAAUUUGAUAUUCUCUGUCUAAGUGCUUAACAUUUGACAAGAUUUGUGUAAUAUCUUUUUACUGAUAUGAAAUCAUACAGAAUUAGCCUCAUGGUUUGUAUCUUAGGAGUCGAAGCCAGAGUUCUGUAUGGGUUCGAAUCUAGCCCAUACAAUAAGGCAUCUGUUUCUGAGAUUCUUACCCAUAAAAAAUAUCAUUUGAAGAAUGAGAAUAUUUUGGAUCUUCUUGGCAAAAUACAAUCCUCAUGUUGUUACAUACUAUAGAAACUUUGGGUUGGCGGUGUGGGAAAAACGUUUUCCCAUCUACCAUUACUGAGCAGCAAAAGCAGGAGUAGUUGCAUACUUGGCAGUCGAAUAUAAAUUCUUUUUUGUUUCCGGAAAAAUCCUAGCGGCUGUAGGAUUGCGGUUGCGGUUGAAAUUCAAUAAGCUACUUAUUUUAUAAUUUUUUAUUAAAAAAAAAGUGUUUGGUAACUGUUGUAAAAUCCACCCAUUUUAUAAUUUUUUUUUCAUUUUGUCAACAGCUUUUAAAAGUAUGUAAGGGGUUGUUUUUCAUAAGCAACUUAUUUAAUAAGUUACCACACAUUUUAAAAAUUUCUAUUAUAAUAAUAUAUUUUAAUAAAAAGACAAUUCUAUUUUACUUAUCUAUAAAUCAUCAUGUAUCAUAUUACUGUUAUAAUUUAAUUACCGCCAUAACCACAUACGUUCUCUCCAAUUUUGAUCCAAUAAGUUCAUAUUCUAAUUUCAUAACUAUGGCUCUUAAAGUUUCGUCUAUAUAUAUUUAUAUUUUUAUUAAUUAACUCUUUCAAAUCCAUUGGCAAUCUAUUUUAAAAAAGAAUUCUAAUUUAUUAUAAAUGUAAUACAUAUUACUUUUUAUUUUAUUUGAAUUAUGUAUAAGUAUGAAUUUUUUUAUCAUAUUUUAUGUAACAAAUUAUGAAGUUCUUUAGUUUUUUUAAUUGAGUUUUUUAAUGUAAUUUUACAUAUUUGAGAAAAAAAAGAUGUGUAAACAAUUUAUUAAAGAUAUUCUAAAAAUAACAAACAAUUAAGAUUUUGUCUAUUUUAGUCAUUAUAUAAUAAAAUAAUACUUUUUGUAAUAAAAUUUAUCAAACACAUGUAUUCUACUUUUUAAACUUACAGUAAUCACAACAAUACAGUAUACCAAACACUAAGUUAUUUUUUUAAUCACUAAUUUAUUUCAGUACAACACAAACAAUUUAUUUCAUCAGUCUCGCGCACUCCCAAAGUAGCCAAGACAGCAAGACUGUAAUUGAUUUGUCCUAGCGGCCAUAAUUAAUUUGACAGUUUAAUUUUUUUCUUAUGGUAUGCAUAAUUGUAUGAUGAACUCUGUCAUGAGGCGGGUUUCUUUACGACACGCUGUUAUAUGUACUGCGAUUGGGUCAUCUUUUCACGACUGCUUUUAAGUAAACCGACACAAGUAAUUGCAGGCAAAAGCCACUGCCGUUUCCUUCUUUUCCCCUCAUAUUGAAACAGGUCAAUGCAUUCUCUCAUGCAUGCAUUAUGUUUUGGACAUGUGACAUAAUUGAGUGGCGUGUCCGUGUCUCGUAGCUUUAGCAUAAUUGAGUAAAUAUGGUCAAAAGUAUGCAGCUAUCCAGCUGCCAGACAUUGCCUUGCCCUUAAAUUCUUGAAGCCAGUCUGUGUUUUCAAAGCAGCAAUUCUGUUCGUACAAUUUAUAAAUGCAGUUGUAGAAUUGUGUUGCUCUUUCCUAUGCACGUGCAAUAAAUAUGAUCGGCGCGUCGCCUAAGUGCGCGACAAAUUCGCGUGUCGUCACUUCCCCGUUUACGAUGAAAUUUUAACCUCAGCACUUUGCUGCCUCUUUGCACGUUUUAUUGUUAAUUCAUUCGGCGUCAUUUAAUCCGUAAACUGAGGCGCCCGUUUUUGCCUUUUUGCAUGUACCGAAAUAAAAGGCUCCCUCUGCACUCUAAUAAUUAUUAACUUUCAAGGGUAAUCUUGUUAUCUAAAGUAAUUUUGUUAUCGCCUUUUGAAUUUGUUAUUUUCAUCUUUAUUUCAAAUUUCAAUAACUAUGCAAACUGAAUUUAUUUAUAUGAAAAAAAAUACUAAAUAGUGAAGAGCACGUAUUUAUAAUAAAAUCUAAAAAUCUAUCGAUAUUAGCUCGAAAAUCUACUCUAACUGACAACAUUUUGGGAGAAGUCUAUUGAUAUUUCAUAAUUUUUUUUAUUGUUAUUAUUUUAUAAAGAGGGAAAGAGCCCUCUUAAGGACUCAAAUUAACUCGAAAAUCUACUCUCACUGACAAUAUUAUGAGGUUAAUAAAAUCACUUUCUUUAUCACUUGUCUUCUUAUAGACUUGCGGAAAAAAUUUUGUUAUUAAAAAACAAAUAUGUUUCAUUUGAGCUGCAAGUACUCUGUUAUUUCAUAAUGUUAAGUGAAAGAGAAUCGCUCAAGUGCUUGAUAAAUCUUGCUAUUAAAUUAUUAUAAAAAUACCAAUGGUUAUUAUAGGUAUAAUAUUGAAUGAAAUAUACUUAUCCAUAUAUAAAUAUGUAUAUGUGUGUGUAUUGGUUGUGUAUACUAAUUGGUAAAAAAAAAUGGUAAUUGUACUUAAUAAUUUUUUAUUAUAAUAAAAAGAAUUAAGAAUAAAGAAGUAAAAUUUUUGGUCUGCGUAAAAGAUGUAAGGAUAUAUGUGGAUUGUGUUAAAGAUAAAAUAAAUUUCAAAAUUUUAAAUUUUAAAAGAUGCUCAUUUCUUAUUCUUUAAAGUCUAUUCUAUCCCGAAAUUUAGGGAUUUGUCUAUCAUUAUUAAGAUGAGGUGAUUUUGGUAAAAAAAAUAAAUUAAAUUAUAACACUAAAAUUAGUUUUAACUAAUCAAAACCCUAAGGAGAGAAAUGUCAGAACAAUUGAGAUCUUUUUGUUAAUUUACGUAACUUGAUGGAUGAUGUGUUUACUGGAAGCAACUGAGCGCGAACACUGAUGAUGAGCUGGCGCAAUAUCUAAUGCCAGCCUUUUUGCGGCUUCCAGGUGUCAUACAGCUGUGCGAUACCUCCGCAAUACGCCACCGUUUCUGGUAUUCAAAUCUUCCGAGUCAACAAUGCCCUCGACCGACCGUUUUCUCAGAAAAGCCCUAACGGUCACUUGGCUCAACUAAAAACAAACAAUAAGACAAACAGUCAACCCGCUGACCCAAGCCCGAAUCCGUCAUUUCGUAUCAAGCAGCGUAUUAUGUACACGGACAUUCGUGAAAUUGGAAAAUUCGGAGGGCAUUUCGGUAAUUUAGCCAAAAUGAAGGGGAGCCACAAGAACAGUAACAAGAACAACUGCUGAAACAGAACAAGAACAAGGGAAUCUAACUCAGUGAUUUGUUUUUGUUAUUAGCUCAAGCUCAGCCUCAGCCUUUUAGCUGCAUUACUGUGAGAAGUUUUAAAGAACCGAGUCAUGGGCGAGUCAAGUGACUCUGUCUCAAUAGAUAUUGACAUGGUUCCUUUUGGAGGAAAGGUGACCAAACUACCCAUCAAGCCACUGCCCAUUUUAUUUAUUUGUAAUUUUCUACAUUUAUUUAAUGUGUUUGAUUAAUUUUAUUUGUGUUGUGCGUGCAGGAAUGCGUGGUGAAGACAAGCAGAGGUUCCGUGAGUGUGUUUGUGUGUGGUGAUCAAGAGAAGCCCGCUUUAAUAACAUACCCAGAUGUUGCUCUCAACUGUAUGUUUUUUUUUUUUUUUCCUUUUUUCAUUUUUUUCAUUUUUUUUUAAUUUUCUGGCCCAAUGGCUUGUAAUAUGAAUGCUGUUUAUUUCUUGAUUGAGGGUUGUUUCUGGGUUGUUGUUUGUUUGAGUUUUGGUGGUAAUUUGAUUGCAUUGCUGUAUGUUAAUGCAAAUGUGUUAAGAAAGAUUGAAUUUAUUGGAGACAGUAUAUGAAAUGGUUCAUCUUUAUUUGAUUUAAAUAAUCGCUUCAGUUUUGGAUUUUUGAGUUCCUACUUAAAUGUGAAAUAAUUUUGGUUGUUUUGGCUUUAUGGGCUGUACAGAUUCAUUUUGUUUCCAAGGACUCUUUUUUUGCCCAGAUGCAGCUUCAUUGCUGCUUCAUAACUUCUGCAUUUAUCAUAUUGAUGCUUCGGGGCAUGAGGUCAGUAUUAGAAUUGGACUUCUUGUCCUCUUUGGGGAUAGGUGCGGUUUAACUGUUUAUUUUGUGCUUUAGUUUGAGUGAUAUUAAUAAAGUACUGUUUCCCCAUUUGUUUAAGAGUUCCUGCAGUUGGGAGCUGAUGAGAUUUCUUCAGAUUUUCCACUGCUUAAUGUGGACGACUUGGCAGAGCAAGUUGCUGAGGUGCUCGAUUUUUUUGGGUAUGUAAAUGCUUGUCCUUUUGUACUUGUGAUUUUACUAAGUAGUAAGUUCCAAUUUUCGUUUUGAUUGACUGUUUCAUGUCUCUUGGGAAAUUUGAAUAUGAAGUUCUUGUUGUAUCAAUUUGCAUCUUUUGCAUGUUCAUAUUCUAAUUUAAUCAUUGAUUUUAUUGCCACUUGACUGCAAAUGCUGUUGUAGCUUCAGCUCAAAAAUCUUACUAUUGCUUUCUUGUUGAAACUCCAUUUGAAGCUAAUUUUCCUGAUAAUAGUGUGUUCUGAAUUGACCCUUGGCUUCUAUUUCUGAAGAGCAUGACAUAUUUAUUGGCUCAUGUACCUGAAUCAGGCUGGAAAAAGUACUGUGCUUGGGAGUGACUGCUGGCGCUUAUAUCCUCACACUUUUUGCAGUAAGUUCAUGAGAGUUGGCAGCCCUUUCUGUCAUUCUUAAAUUUAGGUUCUGCUAUCGGAUUCAUGAGUUUCACCAUUUGGCAGAUGAAAUAUCAAGAGCGGAUGCUUGGGCUAAUCCUUGUUUCCCCUAUUUGCAAAGCACCCUCGUGGACAGAAUGGCUUUACAACAAGGUACUGUGCAACAUAAUUUAAAUCAGCGGCACUUGUCAUGAGAAAACUUGUAUGGGGCAUAACUUGCGUAAUGGUAUAAAUAUAAACACUUGCAUUUGUCUGUAUUAAAACGGGUGUGAGAUGGGAAACUGAUAAAGCUAAACUGCAAUGUGGGUAGCUAAUUAGUAUGUGGAUGUGUUGUAGUAUAAUAACCAAAACUGAAAUUAGCAUGAUCAUUUAUUGAGGAAUUUUAAAAUAUUUUGGAAUUCUUCUUUCAGGUGUUAAUGAACUUGCUAUACUUCUAUGGUAUGUGUGGAGUGUUGAAAGAAUGCCUUCUCCAGCGUUACUUUAGUAAGGUAGUCUAGAUUGCCCUAUUUCUGGAUGUAUUUAAUCUUGCAUAUCUCAUCAUUUUCAAGUUCUUCUGGCAGGAAUUUAGGAGUGGCGAACAUGGUGCAGAAUCAGACAUCAUUCAAGCUUGCCGAAGGGUAAGAACUCUGAUCUCUUUAGAUGCAAUCAUUCAGUCUGUGUGUCUUUAAAUGUUUGGGAAGGCUUUCCCUCUAUUUAUCCUAUUGUAUGUUAAAACAAUACAUGAGUACAAAUUGAACCGCUUUGCUUCGUGCAUAUUCAGGUUCUGGAUCAAGGGCAAAGUUUGAAUGUCUUGCACUUUCUUCAAGCAAUUAAUGAGUAAGUUCAUCUUACUCUUUUCUGUGCCUGUUUUCUAAAGCUUAGCUUCUUCAACUCAUGAAGGCUCAAAUCUAUCAUCAUAACAAAUUUUUUCUUCCUUUCCUCUGAAUGGUUUUAAAAUGAUUGGCAUCUGCUAUUCUGAAACACGUUACAUAUUCACAUCUUGACAUAGCUAAUCUGAACUGUUUGAGAAUUGGUAGGCUAGACAUAUGGUUUCGCCUCUUUGAAUCUUUCUACAUCUGUUCAAUGGAAUUUUAUAAAAGUGGGUGAAGGUUCAUAUGUUGUGAUAAUGCUUUCAUAAAUUGACUACUCAGCUUCUUUACAGGAGGCAUGACCUUACAAAAGGCUUGAAGGAACUGCAGUGUAAAACACUUAUUUUUGUGGGUGAAAGUAGUCCAUUCCAUACUGAAUCUCUGCAUAUGAGUGCCACAAUGGGUAGCAAAAACUGUGGUCUCGUUGAGGUAUAAUGUUUUUCACAUUGUUGAAUGAUUCUUAUUCAUUGGUUAUGUAGCGUAACUUUCAUUGUAAGUUCAAUCCUAUGAUCUCAACCAUCAAAUUAGUUAUAUAGAUGGCUUGAGAUUUGAAUAACUCACAGAUAAAUGCUGAUUAUUUUAUAUAACUCCAAGCUUCUAUGAAAGAAAUAUAGAAAAAGGGAGGAAUGCAAACAAGUUGAUUUUGAUCUUAUUUUGCAAUAACAUGGCAGAGACAGGGAAAUAAAUGGUGAGAUAGAGUAUGCCUUUUAAAAUAAAGGAGAAGACCUCUACAAGUAUACAUGCGUAUUAUGCUAAAAUAUCUACAAGCAGGACAAAUCUAAAUUAGCUGACUCAGUGGAGAACUUGUGAAUAAUAACUCAGAAAAAGUAAAAGAUAAUUUAGAUGAUUGUAUUAAUGAGCUUGUUUAUGUCUUUGACAGGUCCAGGCAUGUGGCUCGUUGGUAACUGAAGAGUACCCGUUAGCCAUGCUGAUUCCAAUAGAGUUAUUUCUAAUGGGUUUCGGUUAUUGUAAGCAACCAAACUUUCCUUCUUCUUCAAGCAAUGGCCCAAACCCAACCAGCCCCUUGAACCACUCUUGCAUAGCACCUGAACUUCUCUCCCCUGAAAGUCUGGGAAUCAAGCUAAAACCCAUCAAAACUCGAGCAGAUAUCAACAUUUGACAGUGGAGCAAGUAUUCACCUGUGAAAGUACCUAUAAUACUACAGCCGCAAGAAGUGAAUAAUGUUCGAAGGGUUAGCAUAUUCUUUCAUUGUGUUGGCGGAUGUAUUCUUUCCCCAAGGAGAUCGAACCAGCAGAGUUGCUAUUUUUGAGUGUAGAUAACCUAUAGUACAUAGUAUAUCAUAGUUGAGAGUAGCUAGGCAUAUUCUUUAGAAAGGGAGGAUUCUUUUUCUGUAUUAUCUGAAAGUACGAACCGUACACAUUAUUACCACUUUUGCACUGAUGAUUUUUUUGCGGCAGCUUAGACUCAGAGACUGACCAAGAGAUUGAUAUUUGGACACACAUGUUGCUGCAAUAUCAUUUCGAAGAAGCAUUAAGAAUUAUGCAUUACAAAAUAAUGAAGUGGUAACAGUUUCAGAUUCUUGGGAUUACAUUAAGUGGAAUAGAAGAUACAAAGUAUAGGAACUACUUAAUUUGUUCAAUCUGAUUCUUGAAAGUUGAAAUGAUACAAAGCAAUUAAUGAAGAUGCGUGAAUGCUCUUGGAGCACCAAAGACUCUCUCUGAGCUAACAUGCCGUGAUCGAUGCCAAAUUUGCUUGAAGCCGUCCCUCCUCAAUUUGUGUAUCAUCGAUGCCAAAUUUGCUUGAAGCUGUCUCUCCUCAAUUUGUGCAUCUUCGAACAUUUUUUCAACCUGUCUAUCCAUAAAUUGAAUUUCUUUGAACAUUUUUUGAACCUCAAAUCUCUCCUUAAUCCAUGGAAGGUCAAGAUCACUGGCAGGUGCUUUCAUCAUUUUGUCUUGCUUCUUGGAGCUUGAACUUUUUCUACUUCUCUUCUUGUAGUCUCGGUAGUAACGAUAAUGAUCACAUAACUUCUGUUCAAGCUCUAGCUCUUGAACUUGAGUGUCUUUGAAAAUUUGAUCAACAUGUCUGUCCUUAAUUUGAAUUUCCUUGUAAAUUUGUUGAACCUCCUUAAUCUCUCUCUCUUUGUCUUUGUUGUUUAAUUGCAAUAACGGUAAUGGUGGGGCAGGUGACUUACGAACAACGGGCUCGCCAUUGUCCAAGAAAGAGUAAUCUCGAGAGUACUUGAGAUUUGCUAUUUUCUGGUUUCUUAUUAGGGCUUCGGCUUCAGAAUUAAUAUUGUUAGGCUUCUUCACUCUCACAUUCACUUUCCUGCUGCUUCUUGGCUUUCUGGGUAUGUGAAGAACAUCACUUGUUCUAAUGGCUUCCUCAACAGUACCACAUAAUGAAGGCCGCUUCAACGUUAUCUUAAUUUUCAUCACCAUUUUUAGGAUCUUUUUAAUUCUUCUUCCUCUGUUUCUAAUUUUGUUAAUAUGCAUUCUAUUAAUGAACCAUGGUUGUAUUUAUAGAGCUACGUUAAUUUUUUUCCUGACGCUACACGGAAACCUUUCCUAUUCUGAUCAGUAUUUACUUUAGUUUCCUAAUUGCAUAAGAAUUUGCAAUAUCGCGGUAACAGCAAAUAAUAAAAGAAAAAAGUUUCCAAUAAUUAAUUAAGCUACAAAAGAUAAAAACGAAAAUUAAAUUCUGUCCAAUUAAAUAAUUUAAAUUAAUUUAUCAAAGACAGCUUAAAUUUCACGUGCGUACGUGCACUGGAGGGCCAGUUUGGGAUUUGCCAGAAUUUAUAUAAGAUUUUGCUUAAAAUUCCACACGAAAAUAAAUUGAAAUAGAGCCAAGAUCAGGUUCACUUUAGAAAUUAAAUAGCGAUCAAAACCAUUGCUUGUCACCGAAGUAACAUGCACACAAACACAAAGACAUCAUGGAUUGGAUUGCAAUUAACUUCUUUGGAGAUAAUAGGAGUUAGUAGAGAAAUAAAAAAAAGUUACUAAUAGGUAGAUAUAAAGAGUAUUUAGAUGAACAUCCACAUUAAAUUUUAACAUUUUCAUUAUAUAAUUUCAUAAGAAUUUCAAAACUAGAAGGGAUCCUAACAUUUGGAAUUUAAGGUUGUGAGGUGGGUAAAAUCAACCAAUUUUUUUUAGAAUUUAAACUCGACUGGCCAGGUCCCUAAGGUCAAGUUACCAUUCAACUUGCAUAUGGUUUAAGUAAAACCGGGUAGAAAUAUUAGUAGAAAUAUUUGUUUAUUGUAGCCAAUUUGGAAACCGAGAUGUAACUACAGUUAUUCUCCUCAAGUUUGAGUUAAACACUGAUAUCAGAAUGCUAUGAAUCACACCCUUACGCCAAGAUUAGAAAUUUCGAUUGCCAAUUCACAAUGCAUAUAAUCACACACAUAAAUUGGAGCAAUUGCCACAUCCAAGUAUCAACUAAAAUGGCAAUACAUAACAACAAUACAGGAAAAGAGAUCGUAACAACCUCGGUAAGAGUUUGAUAAGAUUUUAUUACCUGGCAUAAAAAUCAAUUGUUAGGUUACCCCUUUCAAACGCCUUAACAUUAAAAUGACAUAAAUGAGUUAAAAAAAAAAUUAAAAUCAGGCUGCAUGCAUGUACGAAUACACAUCAAGGGGAUCUUGAAAAUCCCGGUGUCACGAGUUCAAAGCAUUGCAGAAUAUAUUCUAUGAGAAGAAAGCACAGAUUCCGGAUUAUAGUAUCUACAAAUUAAUCACUAUAAAGGGCGAACCUAUAACUCAGUAACACUUUGUUUAAAGCAAUGGGUAAUGAGGGUGGCGGACCAACUCCAAACAUUUACCAAACUAAUAUUAACAAACAAUCAAAAUAAUAACAAAGAUCACAACACAAUCAACUAUCUGCGAACAAAGAGCAUCACAUGAUUAUUCAAAAUACAAGUAUGUUCACAAUACACAAUACGCAAUUCAAUAUACAAGUGUAUGUUCACACGCCGCAAUACACAAUCUCUUGCACAACAAGCAACACAAGCAAACAUAUCAUACAUUAUUCAAAAGCAACGCCAUUAUUACCCAACCUUAAUCUGAAUCUUCCCCACAGAAACUGAUCAAGCAGUUUCCUUCUCAACAGCCUUCUUUGCAGUCUCAAGAUCCUCAUCAAAGAACAUAUCCCAACGCCCGUCCCACUUGAUGAAAAACUCAGUCUCUUCGUAAUACUUCACUCUAUGCACAUCGCCAGCCGGCGUAAACAAGUAAUCGCCAACAGUCAAAUCGAACCUUUCCCCUUUAGUCAAAUUCCACACACUCUUCUUCCCUUCCAGCACCACCAGAUCAUGCCCAAAUGUAUGGUGAUGCGCAGGCUCCACACUCCCGGCCUUAAACCUCACAAUGGCCGACGUUGGACUCUCCCUAACAAUCUUCAUUGAUCCACCCGGAAUCAUUUCCACAGGAUUCAAUUCCCUGUUCUUAACUAAGCAACAUAUGCUACAAGUACUGGUACUAGAAUCAUUAUCUAAUUUAUCAUUUUUACCAAUCAGGGGCAUUUCGAUCAUUGACUUGUCGAGAAAACACGACAAGUUCUCUUCCCAUGGCUUAAAACCCGACGCGGGGCAUGGGGCUUUAAAAGGGGUUUUAAGCCACGUGUCGAGGAUUUCGACGGCGGAUUCUUUGGAAGUGGACAUACCUGAGACGGCGAGGACGUUGCAGUUGUUGAUGGAGCGGGCGUUCAGGGCGUCGGCGGGAGUGAGACACGUGGCGGCGAAGACGCCGGGGUUUUUGUUGGCGAAGAUUGCGACGCCGACUCCGGUUCCGCAGGCGACGAGGCCACGUGUGGUGGUGUCGGAGGAAUCGGAGGAGGAGACGCCGCGGCCGACCUCGGCGCCGAUGGAGUAGUAAUCGGAGGUGCCGAGAUCUUCCACGUCUAUGUUGAGUGACCGGAGGUGGGAGACCAGAGCGUCUUUCAAUUCGGCGCCGAAGGAGUCGGCGCCUGCGAUGAUCUUGAGAGGGCUGGGAGCGGCAGCGGCGGCGUUUUCAGCCAUGGUUCACUACGAGUUGACUAUUCCGAGGGAUGAGUUCAGUGGAGAGUCAGUAAGUCUACAUUCUGGGCGAAUGGUGUGAUGUCAAUUAUCGAUUUUCAUGCAGAAAUGGAUAAUUUACUCCAUGUCCUUGUCGUUUCACCAAAUUUAAAAUAAUCAAAGAAAGGUUUAAAUCAAUCAAAAAAACUUUUCUUUGUGAAAUUCGCUAAAAAAUAGUGGCUUUUGUAAUGUUAUACCGAUUAUAUACUUAAAGUAACUCAUUAUCAUUAUCAAUAUUAAUUCAAUCAAAAUUUCUUUAUUUAUUCAUUUAUUAAUUUUAUAUCAAGUUAUUAAUCAAUCAAAAUGUGUAUAUUUGUUAAUUUCGUUAUAAUUAUUUUAAAAUAAAUCACUUAUUUUUGUUAGUAUUUAUAUACUCUAAAUGUAAGUAAGUUUUUUAAUUAUCAACAAUUACAUCAUAGCUUGAACAAAUAUAUAUAUAGUGGGUCAAACUUGUCUUUAACAUUGUUUAUAUUUUAAUUAGAGUGAUAAACUUGUCUUUAAUAGUGGGUCAAACUUGUUCGAGGGACUUAUUUGUUAAUUUCAUAAACAAUGAGUACCUACAUGUAAAUUUUCUUAUUACGUAAAAAUUAUUGUUUUAUAUAUUUUUUUUAUCAGAGAUAAAAAAAUAAGAGUAAAUUAAUUUUUUUUAUAAGAUCUUAUUAAAUUACAUUAUAAUAUAACUUACAUCAACCAUUAAUUUAUAAGUAGUGACUAAAAAUAAAACCAAUUAAAUUAUUUUUUUAGAUCACUAAUUAUAUCUUUUGAGUUAGUAUAAGUUACAUUAUAGGGUCCAGCUACUAUACCCAUGAGGUUUGGUACCCCAUUCUUUUGUCUUUUUCAAAUCCACCGUUGGAUUUAACGUGAGAGUUGAAUAAUGGUUAGAUGUGAUUAUUGGGUCAUUAGCAUUAAUUUACUAAUCAUAAUUGAUGAUAAAUAUAAAUAUGAUUUUUUUAAAUUUAAUACGGCAACCAAUUUUCUUUCACCCAUGUGAGCAGGGUUCAAACCCCAUAACCUUUUUUUUUUUUUUCAAGCAAUAAAUUUNNNNNNNNNNNNNNNNNNNNNNNNNNNNNNNNNNNNNNNAACUCUGCUGUACGGCCAAGGCGGAUGUACGGUACAGCAGUUUUUUCUCAAGCAAGAGAUUUUAUAUGUCAAGUAGAUGGAAUACACAAAAUACGAAAAUAAAUUUAAUUUCUGCUGUACGGCCAAGGCGGAUGUACGGUACAGCAGGGGCCCCCAGCUAUCACCCUUACUGUAGGCUACUCGCGCCUCAAGUUUCUGUCACUUUGCUCCCUUCACAUGUCGAGGCCACUAUCGGGAAAGUCCCAUCUAUAAAAUGGUCCAGGUACCGAUUUCUCACCAAAUCUUCAACCUGGGUCUUGAGAUCUCUGCAUUCUGCAGUUGUAUGGCCAUGAGUGCCAUGGAACUUACAAUAGCGUCCCCUAUCCCUCCUGCUGGGUAGCUUUGUUAUUGGGGCAGGGAGGUAACAUUAUAAUAUAACUUAACAACAUCUUUUUUAUAACACUGUGCUUAUUAUUGGCCUGACACUUUUCCGUAUUAAAAUUAUUGUUUCAAAUAAAGAAAUUGAAGUUAAUUUCAGAAAACAAUUUUUUUCAAAAAUUAAAAAACAAAUCCACAAAUUUCAAGGAUAAGCGGCGGAGGAUAAGAUCAGAAAUGGCGGGAACCGUUGGUUUGGGCUUGGGCAAACCCAUCAAAACGUUAAUCGCCGUUCGAUCCUGGGGAGUAUCGAUGACAUCAAACGCUGCUCAGGCACGGUGAACGGACGGCAACAAGAACACCAACAACAAAACUGCAACUCCCCAGUUUCUGGAAUUUGCAGUCAGUGGGGUCACUGAGCUUCUAAGGCUAUUCUCAUCCUUCGAUAAAGGCAGGUAAUUUACUUAUGAAGCUAUCAUCUCUGUUCUGUUUGGUUGCCAAGAAAAUGCCGGAAUACCCACCGGAAAGAUAAGGGAAAAUAUUGCAUAAUUGAUAAAAUUCAUCAGUUUAGUUUGCAUAUUUAAUAUUUUAUGUUUCGUUAGGUGUUUGCAGGUUGGAUAGAGUGAGUUAUAAACAAAAAGAUGAGAUUUUGGUUAAAUAAUUAAGCUACAAAAGAUAAAAACAAAAAUUAAAUUCUGCCCAAUUAAAUAAUUUAAAUAAAUUUAUCAAAGACAACUUAAAUUGCACGUGCGUACGUGCACUGGAGGGCCAGUUUGGGAUUUGUCAGAAUUUAUAAUAGAUUUUACUUAAAAUUCCGCACGAAAAUCAAUUGAAAUAGAGCCAAGAUCAGGUUCACUUUAGAAAUUAAAUAGCGAUCAAAACCAUUGCUUGCCCCCAAAGUAACAUGCACACCAACACAAAGACAUCAUGGAUUGGAUUACAAUUAACUUCAUUGGAGAUAAUAGGAAUUAGUAGAGAAAUAAAAAUGUUACUAAUAGGGAGAUACAAAGUGUAUUUAGAUGAACAUCCACAUUAAAUUUUAAUAUUUUCAUUACAUAAUUUCAUAAGAAUUUUGAAACUAGAAGGGAUCCUAACAUUUAGAAUUUAAUGUUAAGAGGUGGGUAAAAUCAACCAAUUUUUUUAAUCCAGGAGAAUUUAAACUCGACUGGCCAGCCAAAUAAUGUUGCUUGAAAUCCACUUGGCCAGGUCCCUAAUGUCAAGUUACCAUUCAACUUGCAUAUGGUUUAAGUAAAACUGGGAAGAAAUAUUAGUAGAAAUUUAUGGCUAAACAUGAUAUGUAGGGUAGAAACUAGUGUUUUUCUUAGAGCCAAUUUGGAAACAGAGAUGCUACUACAGUUAUUCUCCUUGAGUUUGAGUUAAACACUGAUAUCAAAAUGCAUAUGAAUUACACACUUGCGCCAAGAUUAGAAAUUUCGAUUGCCAAUUCACAAUGCAUAUUCACACACAUAAUUGGAGCAAUUGCCACAUAAGUAUCAACUAAAAUGGCAAUACAUAAUAAAAAUACAGGAAAAGAGAUCAUUACAAAUUCGGCAAGAGUUCGAUAAUAUUAUAUUACUUGGCCAAAAAACACUCAUUAGGUUUACAGCUUUCAAAUGCCUUAAAAUUAAAAUGACAUAAAUGAGUUUUUAAAUUUAAAAAAAAAAAAAAAAAAAAAAAAAAAAUCAGGCUGCAUGCACAUAGGAGUUCACAUUAAGGAGAUCUUGAAAAUCCCAAUGUCACAAGUUCAAAGUAUUGCAGAAUAUAUUUCACGAGAAGAAAGCAGAGACUCCAGAUUAUAGUAUCUACAAUUUAAACACUAUAAAGGGAGCACCUAUAACUCGGUUACAAUUUGUUCAAAGCAAUGGGAAAUGAGGGUGGCAGACAAACACUAAACAUGUAUCAAACUAACACGAACAAACAAUCAAAAUAAUAAUAACGAUCGCAACACAAUCAACAAUCUGAGAACAAAGAGCAUCAAGAUUAUCCAAAAUACAAGUAUAUUCACACUACGCGAUACACAAUUCAAUAUACAAGUUUGUUCAUACUACACAAUACACAAUUCAAUAUACGAGUAUGUUCAUACUUCACAAUACACAAUCUCUUGCACAACAAGCAAACAACUCAUACAUUAUUCAAAAGCAAACCCAUUAUUACCCAAACUUAAUCUGAAUCUUCCCCAUAGAAGCUGAUCAAGCAGUUUCCUUCUCAACCGCCUUCUUUGCAGCCUCAAGAUCCUCAUCAAAGAACAUAUCCCAACGCCCAUCCCACUUGAUGAAAAACUCAGUCUCUUCGUAAUACUUCACUCUAUGCACAUCACCAGCCGGUGUAAACAAGUAAUCCCCAACAGUCAAAUCAAACCUUUCCCCUUUAGUCAGAUUCCACACACUCUUCUUCCCUUGGAGCACCACCAGAUCAUGCCCAAAUGUAUGGUGAUGCGCGGGCUCCACACUCCCGGCCUUAAACCUCACAAUGGCCGAUGUCGGACUCUCCCUAAUAAUCUUCAUUGACCCACCGGGAAUCAUUUCCACAGGAUUCAAUUCCCUGUUCUUAACUAAACAACAUAUGCUACAAGUACUGCUACUAGAAUCACUAUCUAAUUUAUCAUUUUUACCAAUAAGGGGCAUUUCGGUCAUCGAUUUGUCGAAAAAACACGAUAUGUUCUCUUCCCAUGGCUUAAAACCCGACGCGGGGCAUGGGGCUUUAAAAGGGGUUUUAAGCCACGUGUCCAGGAUUUCGACGGCGGAUUCUUUGGAAGUGGACAUACCUGAGACGGCGAGGACGUUGCAGUUGUUGAUGGAGCGGGUGUUGAGGGCGUCGGCGGGAGUGAGACAUGUGGUGGCGAAGACGCCGGGGUUUUUGUUGGCGAAGAUUGCGACGCCGACUCCAGUUCCGCAGGCGACGAGGCCGCGUGUGGUGGUGUCGGACGAAUCGGAGGAGGAGACGCGGCGGCCGACCUCGGCGCCGAUGGAGUAGUAAUCGGAGGUGCCGAGAUCUUCCACGUCUAUGUUGAGUGACCGAAGGUGGGAGACCAAAGCGUCUUUCAAUUCAGCACCAAAGGAGUCGGCGCCGGCGAUGAUCUUGAGAGGGUGAGGAGCAGCGGCGGCAGCGUUUUCAGCCAUGGUUGACUAUGAGUUGACUAUUCUGAGGGAUAAGCUCAGUGGAGAGUCAGUUACUGAGUCUACUUUUUUGGGUGAAUGGUGGGAUAUCAAUUAUCGAUUUUUAUGCGGAAAUGGAUACUUUACACUAGGUCCUUGUCUUUUAAGAAAAUUUAAAAUUAUCAAACAAAAUUUUUAAAUCAAUUAAAAAAAAUUUCUUUUUGAAAUUCGCUAAAUAUAAUGGCUUUUGUGAAUGUUCAGCCUAUACUUAGGUAAUGUUAUAUACAUACAAUAACUAAUUUUUAUCAUUGUCAAUAUUAAUUUAAUCAAAUGUUCUUUUAUUUAUUCAUUUGUUAAUUUUAUAUCAAAUCAUUAAUCAAUCAAAAUGUUUACAUUUAUUAAUUUAGUUAUAAUUAUUUCAAAAUAAAUUACUUACUUUUAUAAUUAUUUACAUAUUCUAAAUGUAAGUAAGUUUUUUAAUUAUCAAUAAUUAAAUCAUAGCUUGAAUAAAUAUAUAUAUUUUUUCUUUUUCUCACCAGAGCGAUAAACUAGUCUUUUAAUAGUGGGUCAAACUUGUUCAAGGGACUUAUUUGUUAAGUUUGUAAACAAAGAGUACCUGCAUGUAAAUUGUCCAAUUAAGUAAAAAUUAUUGUUUUAUAUAAUUUUUUUUAUUAGAGGAAAAAAAUGAGAGAAAAUGAGAGUAAAUUAACAUUGUGCUUAUUAUUGGCCGGAUACAUUUCCGUAUUAAAAUUAUUGUUUCAAAUAAAGAAAUUAAUCUCGGAAAACAAUUUUUUAAAAAAAUUAAAAAAAAAUAUAUCCCACACAAAUGUCAAGGAUAAGCGGCGGAGGAUAAGAUCAGAAAUGGCGGGAAUCCAUUGGUUUGGGCAAACCCAUCAAAGCGUUAAUCGCCGUUCGAUCUUGGGGAGUAUCCAUGGCGUCAAAUGCUGCUCAGGCACGGUGAACGACGGCAACAAGAACACCAACAACAAAACUGCAACUCCCCAGAUUCUGAAAUUUGCAGUCAGUGGGGUCACUGAGCUUCUAAGGCUAUUCUCAUCCUUCGAUAAAGGCAGGUAAAUUACUUAUGAAGCUAUCAUCUCCGUUCUGUUUGGUUGCCAAGAAAAUGCUGGAAUACCCACUAGAAAGAUAAGGGAAAAUAUUGCAUAAUUGAUAAAAUUCAUCAGUCUAGUUUGCAUAUUUAAUAUUUUUUGUUUCUGUUAGGUGUUUGCAGGUUGGAUAAAGUGAGUUAUAAACAAAAAUAUGAGAUUUUGGUUUCGGGUAUUGAUGAUAUAGUAACCAUCCUGAGGUCUGAUUAUGAGAAUGCUUAUUUUGUCACAGGUAGCUACUAUUUGCAAUGUUUGAUUAUCAUAGUAUUUUGCUAAUAUUUGUAGCUAAUAAAAUUUUGUUUAUUUCCAAUGGAAAGGGAUUUUCACUUCUGAAAUUUAUGCUGAAGAUUGUAUCUUUGAAGAUCCUACUAUUAGAUUUCGAGGUGAGAAAAAUUUACUAUGUCCUUGACAUAAGAACUGUAGAAUUAGCUUUAAUUUGUUCUGUUAUGUUUACGUUUUAUGUCGUAUCUUUGUCAUUUAGUUCAAAGAUUGUGUUAUCCAACAUAAUGUGCCUAAAUUCAACUAAUUUUUAUGGUCUUUGGUUAUCCAGGUACAGAGUUGUAUUCUCGUAACUUGAGACUGCUUGUUCCUUUCUUUGAAUAUCCAUCAAUUGGAUUACAAAAUAUCGAGAAGGUAAGGUACUUUCUACGAAUUGAUAUUGUCUUUCAGUUAAUAAAUAUUAGUUGGAUAUGCACAUAAAUUCUGUUGAAUGAUUGUCCAAAAUGAUAUGCUAAAAUGCAAUUGGCUUCAUUUUUGCUGGUGCAUGACAAUUUGUUUUGGAUUAACCAUGAUUGGUCAAGUUAUGAGGUCAUCACCUUUGCUAAUGUCCUACUGAAAACAUGGCAGUGGAAACCAGUAGAAAAUGCUAGAAUUGAUGAGACAGAUUUGGUUUUGUCAUUGUUUCUGAGCAACUUUUGGGUGGAAAAUUUAAUCAAAUUUUCGGUAAUAUUUCAACAAUAUAGAGUAUCAUUACAAGGUUUCUUUGGGAAGAAGGGAGAAUUGGGCCAGAGAAACUUAGCUGUAAUUCAGAACUUUUAACUUGUAUGUAUGCAGGUAAUGCUGGCCUGGGCUUUCCAGCUGACUUUUUGCUCAUGCUGUUGAAAAUGACUAGACUUGACAAUUUAGUAGUUACAAUUCAAUGAAAUGCAAUAACUUUAAGAUAAAGGGGCUAGGAUUGUGAACGGCAUUAAAAAUAAAGUUUUAUGGCAUGUUGAGCACCCUGCCAGAUAUCAUAGGCAAUAUUCCUUUGUAAAUGAUUAUUAUAUAGGUUUCUUUUGGAUCAUUUUGGAACUAUAGUUGUUUGAAACCUGUAUUUUCAUGUACAUGGUGUGGUAUUUAAUCAUUGAUCACAUUACUCCCUAUUUUGAGUACAAAAUAUUUAUGACUUCAUAUACAGGGUUUCAACUCAGAGAGAAAUUUUGUGCUGGCUACAUGGAAACUAAGGUACUUCUACUGAGUAUACUGUCUUUUUUUCCUUGCACUUGGCAAAAUCGUACACAUCUGAAAUUUUAUAUUUGUCCACUGCUUGAAGUGAUGAUUAAAAUUUUUUUCAGUCUUUCUUUUGCUUCUUAUGGUGCAAAAUCCAGCGGCCAUUUGAAAGGUUGAUCAGCAUACAUUUGACUCGUGGCAGGACAUGAGGCUUCAUAAGAAACUUGUGUAACUUUGAAUGGUGGAUAGCCACUGAAUACUCACAACACUCAGUUUUGUAUUUUAUGUGUUUUUUGCGUAGGGAUAAACCCACUGGAUUUUUUUUAAAAAAAAGGUGCAAAAGAAAUAUAACUUUAUCAAUCAUAAAGUGGUGGUGAUCAUGCUUCAGAACUGUCUCCUUAAACAUCUUAGCCAGUAAAACCCAGUGGUGUAUUUAGCAUCUGUCCACCAUUCAAAAUGCCAAUGAAUUUUCCUGUAAAGCCUUAUGUAUGCCAUCUGUAAAAUGAUGGAUAUCAAACUUACAAAUGGACAGUGUUUUUGGAUUAUAAAUAUAGGCAUUGGCUUUGUAAACUGAUUCAUGCCAAAUAACUUUUAUAAAAGCUUGAGCAGUAAAAUAAAAGGAGCCCCUUCCCUUUCUCUAUAUUUUCUUUGCAGUACCUUCUCAUUUACUUGCUGUUUAUAUCCUUAAGUUAUUAUUUAUAACAUGCUAUAUAAGAGCCAGUAAUGUGCACCGAUUGAGUUGUCAAGAGAAAAAAAAUAUAUCAUUCAACACUCAAUUCUUCAAUUUAGGUAAACCUAAAGUUCAAAUGCCACAAGGAUUAUCUGUUAAUACAUAUGGUUAUUUUAAGUUGACUGUUCUAUAGGAGAUCAAUUUUUAUUCAAUAUAAUGUGUCUAAUUAGAUAUUAUGGAGAUGGAGCUACUUGAUAUGGUUUUGGUUGUGUGAGAACAUUGCAGUCAAUAUCAAUUAGUAUUUAAGUGCUUCACUGUUUUGAGGUGAAUUAGGCCUCUAUUUAAAAUUGGAAGAAUCUCCAUUAAUUAAAUUAAAGCUCUUAAAUUUGGCUCGGUGAUGCAGGAAUAUGUAAAUCUAAGUCACUAAUUAUAUAAAGGCUAAGAAGCCAUUUUUAGAUGCACGCCUUCCUGCUGAAAAAGCUCGCAUCCAGGCCAGAGUUUGUCUUUCUUGUGUCUUUAAAUGGUUGGAAGGAGAGAAGGGCGAGGAGGCUACAUUAUUCUACUCCCUUAGGGGGCUACAUUUUUCUACUGCCUUAUCUCCUACGAAGGAAAAACAUAUAUUUAUUGACGAGUAUGGGAUGUUUCUGAUACUGCCUCUUCAAUUUGUUAACCAAUUGCUAGUUUCUCUGAUUUGCAGAACCUACCUAAAACUUCCAUGGAAGCCUCUCAUCUCUAUUGAUGGAAGCACUGUGUAUGAACUAAAUGAUGAGUUUAAAGUAAGGAAGAAUCAAUGCUUCUCCACUCUUUUGUAUGUUUAAACUAAAGUAUUGCAUAUCACAAGUGCUGCUACUUACAGUUGCUUGUCUCUAUGAAUUUAACAGAUUACACGGCAUGCUGAGAGUUGGAAUGUUUCUGCACUUGAAGCAGUUGGCCAGAUAUUUACCCCUGGUGAUCAAAACUAGCAAGUCUCCUAAAAUACGAUGCCGCCCAAAUUCAUGUAUGGCUAAUAUCGUUCCCAUUGUUAAUUAGGACUGCCAGGAUAAAACUGAUAUGGUAAAAUAUGUAAAUCUUCAUACUCAUUGCUUUUAAUCUACAGGUCAGAGGACCACCUAACCAUCAUUCUGUAUGCAGAAAACUAACCUAAUACAUUCCAACUGUAAGCCAACAGGAUGCUCAUUUACUGGAAUAAAAUGCUCCCUGGGGAAUUAGAUUCUUGUAAAAGAGAUAUCUGUCAUGAGCUUGCUGUGUUCAUUGCUUAGAAGUAUGAUCAUCCUUUUUGGACAGAGUCAUGAACCGGCUAACUUUAUGGCCAACUAAGCAUUUCAUAGCUACUUUUAGGUUUAAUGACUUCCCGCAUCAAACUUAAAAGAUUUCUCUAAAGAUUGCUUUAGGUGAUCAAUUUUGAAAUACAUAGUGAUGGCUUACUCUUUACAUUAAAAUAGUGGAACCCCAGAUCAAAUAAUACUUAAAACUGCUAAACCCAUACUAUGUUCUUAUUAAAGCGCAGAUGCCUCUCAGUGUAAUGAUGAUAUGGGAUUACGGGGCACAUUGCCAUUAAAUAGAAAUAAGAAUGUUUUUGCUUUGUAAAGUGGCAAUGAGAGCUCCUCGUGUUAUGGCGCAGAAAGUCUACAACUUUUGCUAGAAAAGCAAAGUAAUAUUUUGGUCUAGUUUUUUUUCAAUACUUGUUUAUAUCAUUUGAUUGUUUAUUUGAGAAAUGAGAAUCCGAUGUGCUGGUAGUGGCAGUAUUUGUUGAGCAUGCGCGCAAUUGAUUGUGUAGUUUAUUGCUUUUAAAUUGUGUGGCAUUGUGGGCCCAAUCAAUAGGCGUUUGAACUUUUCUUGGCUUCUUAACAUUUCCUUCUCAGGGGUUUUUUGUGUGGAAAAAUUUUUGAUGAACUUCUAGACUUUGUACCUAUUUUUCGUGUAAGAUGCUGAAUUGUUUGACAAGUAAACGGACAAAUGGGUUGUUUUAAAUAGACUGGAUUGAAUUUUGAACUGUCCUUACAAAAUCUAGACCGUCUAGAUUUGUUCUUCUUGUUUCAUGACUUUUGAUUAUAAAAUUAUUUAGCUCAUAAUUUUAAUAUUCAUUUUAAAUCUCAAAUUUCAAAGGGUCUAACGCUUCAGUUCUAAGUGCCCCAUAACACACUUAAUUUCUUCAACAACUCCUCAAUUUGAAUUUGGGAGAGACUGCACUUUUACCUUCCUUCAAUAAUUUUAUCCAUUGCCCAAAUGCAUAUUUACAAGCAUCAAUCUCUGGAAAUUUAAUAAAAAUACAUCAUAAUCACAAAAUUUAAAGAAUCGUCUUGGAGAUCAGACAAUAUAUUAUAUAUCACCCAAAAAAAAAAUUGAUCAGGAAUCACAAAAAGAAAGCACAUUUUUCAUCCAAAAUGAACUUCUAGUAAUUGAUUUCAAUCCUUCCUCCAUGCAUACAACAACAAAGAGAACCCCCCAUUGCUCCCACAAGACCUAGUAGAUGAAGAACAUGAGCUUCUCCCACCAUCACUGCUCUCCUCCGCCCACUGCAACACACUAGAGCACGACGGCGACGGUGACAGUGAAGUGGACGGUGCCGAUGCUGACCCCAAGGAGGACAAGUUCUUCUUCAUCAGCCUCUUUUCAGGACCAACCAUCUCAGGCCAAACCCCACCUUCACCAAAUUGAAAAAUAAACACUCCAUGCCCAUUACCAGUACCAGCAGCAGCAGCAGAGCCAUUGUUGUUGAUCCAGUUGAAAACGUCCCAGAAGAAUUCUACUUCAAUGCCAUCAACAUAGAUUCUUUCAUGGCCUCUGAACUUCCAUGCAAGCCGUUUGAUAACAAGGCUUGUUUCACCAUCAACUUUAACUUUGAGCACACCGCCAUCACUACACUCAAUGCCAAUUUCAUGCUUGGAUCCCAAGAAAUGUGCCCUAGACAUGUAACUCUUGCGUCCAAACACAUGCUCUCUCCUUGACAACAGAGCAUGCUCUGCUACUUGGCGACUCAUGAUCAAUCCGGACCGUUUUACAAACUCUUCUUGAAGAUCGCCUAGGAAGAACUCUAGCCUUGCAUUGCAAGAAAUGGCAAUGUAAAAGCCAGAGUCAGGCUCAGCUGAGUUUUGGGUGAAUUGAGCCCUAGUGAAGUCCCAAUGGAGCUUGAUUCUUUGGUAAUGUUGUUGGGUUAAGUAGAUGGAUUUGGAGCCGGAGCCAGGCCGGCUCCGAAAGAAUGAUGAGAAGGUUGAAGGGUGGAGGGAGAUGGUGAGGGAGAAAGAGUCAGCUGCAUAGAUGGUUAAAGAAUGAGAGAAGAGAUUUUUAGACCAAGUGAGUGUGAGGUAAGUUGGGGACUUGCAUAUUUGAGUUUGGUAAAUGCAUGUAAUGAGAUUUUGAGGCACCUGAUGAUGAUGAUGAUGAGAGCUGCCGCUUGAUGAAACUGUGCUGGGAUGGCUAAAGCAUGCCGGAAUCAUAGUGUUCAAAUCUCAAUCUUCAAUCUAUUGUGUGUGUGGGCGUGUGGGUGCAUUCAAAAGCAUUUAGUAGGAGAAUUUGCAUGCGGGUUUGCUUACAGGGUUUGUGUGUGUUGAUGAGAUGGAAAAUGAAUGAGGAUUUUGGAGGCAUUUGACGUUGGUUUUUGUAUUGAUUGUUUUGAUGGGUAGUUUUUUCAAUUUUCUUUUAAAGAGAUGAUUUUCUAAUAUAAUCUGUAGGGGAAGAGGCAAUGAGGUGGGUGCUUUGAAUCUUGAAUGAUGAGGACACAAGGGGUUGAUUCAUCAUCACAAUCAUCAGCAGCAGUUGCAGUCUGCUCUUUUGGCACAAAGCCUUAAAGUUCAAUAUUCAUGUUUUCUCCCCUUGAUUUGCGCCUCUGACAUGGCUUUUUUCAAUGAAAAAAAAUAAUAUGCACUAAGCUUAGCUAGCUGUGUUGCACUUAGGAUGAGACUGCUUGUGUGUGUGAGUCACAAGUUUAGAGCCAUGACUCUCUCAUCUUCCAUUUUAUAUUACUUUAAAAAGGAGCUAACCCCCUUUUUUUCAAUAAUCACUUUGCCAUCUCAUCAAAAGGGAUUGGAGAAAUGGGAGAUGGGGCCUUGGAAAAAGAAGAGAGACUCAACCACUUUAUUUUGUAGGGUUCUUUUUAUUUUUCUAUUUCUUUUUUUUGCUUCACUUGGGCCAUCAAUUAGGUUUUAGAUUUAUGAACUUUUUGAGUAGUUUUCAUUUCUAGUUGGAUUAGCAUUGGAUGUGACUCUCAAAGGACUAUCCAAAUAAUCAUUUAGAUAACAAUCAACCUCAUACUUUUGUUUAAUAGUUCUUGAUACGAGUGGGGUUCGAAUUAUAAACGUAUUGUCUCAUCAUUCACAUUAAUCUUCAUUCAUACUUCUGUUCAAUAAUAAUCUUUAAUAUGAACGGGAUUCAAAUUCUAGAUUUAUUGUAUCGUCAUUGAAAAAAAAAUAUAUAUAUUUGUAAUUAACUAGCACCCACAUUAGCUUUCUUUUGUUUGUUUAUAUAGGUAACAAGUGCAACGAAGUCUUCAUUCAAAUUAAAUUAAAAUUGAAUUUCCUCUUUUAGUCUUUUGGUCCUUUAUUUAUUAUUUUCUGAAGUCCGAAGUCACAAGUAAAUAUUGAAAUUAACUGCAGCAUUGCCCGCCAGAUACUUUUGGACUUUUUUAAUGAAUUAAUUUUAUUUCCAACUUGUCUAACAAGUAACAAUCCUUUGGCUAGACUCUGCACGAUUUUGCUUACGACAUGCCAAUUUGGCUCAAAGCAUAUGAAUGAUUCGUCGGUUAUUUUUAAUUCAAAUAAAGUUGGACCUACACAAGUAUGGAUCAUUUUCAGGCUUAGAAUACUGUUCAUGCCGUGUGCCUUCAGCAAAUUCUGAACUCUGAACAGUCAAACUUGCCUACGAGACAAUAUAUGAAUGCAACGCAUGCUCAAAGCUAAAGAAUUUAUUUCUUAUUUCCAAUUAGUUUUCUCUUUUUCAUUGAAGUUCUUUAUGACUUUAAAGACUCUUUCUGAUUUUCAAGGCUCAAAACUCUUGUUGAGAACCAAACAAUUAAAAACUUUUUCUUUUUCUUUUUUUCUGGGUUGGAAGUUUUGCUUGUAAUAGUCCUAUUAAUUAUGGAUUUAUUUGAAGAAAAUGUAUUCGUAAAAGUUAUAUUAGGUAGUCAAUUUAGAAUUGUAAGGACUGAUAAAUAAGUUAUUUAUGCUGUGUGGAUAAAAUAAGUUGUUAAAUUAAAAAGUUACCUGAUUUUUGAUAAAUUGUGGUGUUGUGAUUGUUGUGGGUUUCAUAAUAUUGUACACGCUUUUGAAAAAUUUUACUACGAAAAUAUUGUUUUAUUAUAUAACAUCUAAAUAUACACACAAGUUUAAAUUGUCUCCUAUUUGUAUAAUAGGGUUUUAAAAAAAUAAGACAUAAUUUUUUUUUUUACUAAAAUAUCAAGAUUAUAUUUAUCAAGAUCAGUUUCUCUCAUUUGACUUGUUUUGAUAUGCAUGUCAUCGUGAUGAAUUAGUCGCUCUUCAAAUAAUUUCAAAUGUUGUGGGUUGGUGGUUAGACGGACAGAUCUCACUAAAUUGAUGCCCAAAAUUAAAUUAUUUGAACAUGUGCUUUACUAGAAAAAUGCAAAUAUGUACACUCACAAACAACCUAUUUAACUAAACAAUUCAUUUGUAUAUAAAUAUGCAUAGCAUAUACUAAAGAAAUAAGAUGAAAAUCUAAGCAUUGGUGAAACCUGCCGUUACUUGUUUGUUUAAUCAAACAAGUGGUAUAGGCAGCUAACGAUGAAUUCACGAGUGUUCAUCACUUUAGGAAUUAUGAGUGUAUGAAAUUUUUAUGUUCUAUUCAUAUAUAGAUGUAAUAUUUAUUUAUUUAUUCAUUCUUUUGGGUUUAAAUCUUACAUACAUUUCCAUGAAAUUCUUAAGCUACUUGGUAUACAGCGAUAUUAAUGUUCAUUUGAUUUUUGAAGGUCGUUUGAAUAUUUUUUAUAAGAUGAUUCAUCGAAUUUUCAAGUCUUUUUAACUUCUGACAAACCUAUUUUCCUAUUUAGUUUCAAUCAAAUAACUAAAUAGUUUUAUUAAGUUGUCAAUCUUAAAUUUAGAAUAAUUAUCGGAUAUUUUAAGCAAUUGUACUUAGAUCUAAGGUUUAUAGGGCUUUCAUGCCACCAAAAUAGAAAGAAGUGAAAAAAGAAUUGCUUGAAAUAGAAGUUUUUCAUCUUUUUCGGUAUUUCCUAUUUAGUGGGAUUAGAUAAAAUCAUUUUUAGUUAUAUGUCAAUUUUUAUUUCUUUUUCUAAUUUUCUCAAUUUUUAUUUCUUUUUCUAAUUUUCUCUUUGAUGGAAAAUUAUUUUUUACCCUUAAUGAAUUACUAACAAACGACAUUCAACUAACGAUAAGUUAACGAAAUGAUGUUUUGGGUUAUUUUUUAAAAAGUAAGGAUGAAAUUGGUUAUUACACGAAACCCUAGGGAUGUGAAGGGCUUUUUCCUGAUGAAAUAUGAUGAGGAAAAUAAUUUUUAAAUAUUUAAGGAACAGUCUUCUUGUUGUAGAUAUAUAGAAAAUGUGUCACUAGUUUGAAUUGUACAUUCAUUGACAGGUUAUUAUGUUCCAUUCAAGAUACUUAGUGAAAAAAGAAUAAAAGGUUUGGUGGAUUCCCAAUGAAUUAGUUUUAACUUUUCAGUUCCCAUUUUCCUUAGUGUUUGUUACGUAACCAAGAUAUUAGAGUCUAAAAAAGGUAGUAGGGUAGAGUUUUCUUUUAUCUUAUACAAUAAUAUCUAAUUCAUAAAAUUUUGAUGAAAUUAGGUAUUUGAAGGACACGUCUUCUAGCUAUGUAUUCUUAGUACGAUAUGUCGUAUUGGCAUUAGAUGGUAAACGAAAUGUCCGGCAGAGUAUGCGCGAGUAUAUCCUCUGUAGGACUUGUCAUCCAUUAUUUUUAUAGAGAUGACAUGUCGUUGAUUAAUAUUAUUAUUGAAAGUCAUGUCGUCUUUAAAUUUUUGACAUAAACAGCAUGUCAUUAAUUAUUUUUGUUGAAUAUGUAAAACCAACUUGAGAUAAUUAGUUAUUUUAAUUUUAUGACAAUUUUAAAUUUAUACUUAUUUGGGUUUAGAUCUGGAUUAGAAAGGGAUUGUUAAUUUAUUAUCUCUUAAUAUUUUGAUAUCUAAUUUUCAAUAAAAAUCCUCUUUUUUUUUCCUACUAGAUUGUUUAUUUCUAUGUGGGCAAGAAUUCAGACAAAUAUCCUUUUAAGGACUUAACAACCUAGAAUAAAACUCUGAAGAUAAGUUAUCAUAUUUAUUUUUAAGUAAUCCUACACUUGCUAUCGUACCUGAUGUGUCAUUAAUAGAAUUUCAUCAUUUAGAUAUUAUAUAUAAAUCUUGAGGAGAGAAGAAUUGCCUGACCUUGGCAGUUUUAAUUUUUUGCUAAUUUUUAUUAACUGAUUACUUUACUUUUUAAGUUUAUGAUUAUAUACAAAAAUAUAGAAUAACAUAUAGUCUUUAAAUUUCCUUUAUUUUGAGUCAGUUAUUUCAUUUUUUUUUAUAAUUUGAGUUUACUUAUAUUUGGAUCCGAAUAGGGCUAUAAUCUAAAAAGAAAUGUUGAUAUUUUCAAUAAAUUCUUUUUUUUUUAAAUUUUAUUUCUCUACAAAAAUCCAGACAAUCAGGUUGUGCUCUUAAUCAAGUGAUAAACUAAUCCAGCGGAACAAAUUAUAUGAUCAAAUUUUAUUGUUAUAAUAUGAUACCAAAACUCUUUACCACAAACAAAAAAACUUUUAAAAAAGUUAGUGCAUAGAAGAGAUUCGGGCUUCCCCUUUUAUGAAGCCCAACGUUACGUGAAAAACUAUAACUAAUUGAAAUCCGUUGCAAGAGAAUAAAAAGAUCAAGUAAAACUAAUUUCACAUCGUGAGUCGUGACUAAUGGAUUCGUCCUCAAGCUAAUGGAUUCACUCACUCAGAGCAGAUUUGUUUUUGUCUCGUAUCAAUUCUAAUCACUCUCCUAGAGUGGAUUUGUUUUUGUCUCAUGCAUAUCAAUUAAAAAAAAAAAAAAUUAAGGGGCAUUUCUUUGUGGCUGACAUUUUUGCAUCAUUCGAAAAAUAUUAUUGGAUAUUGGCAAUGAUUUUGUUGGUGUAAUUUCCCACAUUUGAGGUUGCUUUAUGUUGCUCAAUUUUUAAACACACCUUUGACAAACCCCGGUUUCUUAGCUAAAGACCAAAGCUUCAAUUUUCAAGAUCAAUUUAACUUUGGGAUCAAACACGAUUCAUGCACAUACCCAAAAAUAUGAAAAAUCGUCAAUUAAAUUCCUCAAAUCGAUACAAAAUUAUAAAAUUAUACAUAUCUUUUAGGGUAAAAUUAUGGUACUACAGUAGUACCAUAUCAUAGCUGGAUCCAGCCAUUGGAUCCAGCUCACAGUGAUCCCCAUAACUAGAUCCAAUGGCUGGAUCUAUUUGUGAUAUGAUCCCAUAACUGGACCUUAUCUUCUAAUAUAUAAUAACAAAAAAAGAAAAUUCAUCACAAUUUAUUUUUUUUUUUUGCGCAGGAACAAAAAUUUUAAACAACAAAUUGAUAAUUUAAAAACUAUCCUUUCUGAUAAUUGAAACCUGAACCCCCAAAAUAUUUUUAUUUACUACUAUAAAUACUAAAUUAAAAGGGGGGGGGGGGGGAGNNNNNNNNNNNNNNNNNNNNNNNNNNNNNNNNNNNNNNGGGGGGGGGGGGGAGAAUUUUGAUUUACUUUGUGGCAGAUUCGUGUUGAACAGCCUUGUUAAGCAAGCUAUCUUGAUCCAAAGCCACCAGAACAAGAGAAUCACCGAUGCCUCGCGCCAUGGCGAGCAUGAUCUCCUCCAUCAGAGACCUGAACUCGCUGCGGUCGAUAUUCCCAUUACGAUCCUCAUCGAACCUCUCGAAGAUGUUGUUAUAAAGACGAUCGAUCUCUUCUAUAGGCUGAGCCUCGUCUUCCAUGUCGAAGAACCUGUGAAACCUCUCGCGCAACGUGCUACGCGAAAGCCCUCCGUUUUUAACGAAAUCAAGCUUUUCGAAGCAUUCGUCGACGCAGUUCUCGAACUUGGCUUUAUCGUCGACAAAUUUCGUCACCGUAGAGCCAUUAAGAACAGCGAUACUCAUCCUUUUUUCUCCCUAUUCUUCUGUAGACAAUUGAAUUGGUUGAAAAUUUUCGUAAAAAAAUUAUUUUAUAUAUAUAGUGGCAUUAGCCCCAAAAAUAGUUGACUACUAAGCAUUGAUGGGGCUUUAAUUUAGAGGGUUCCUUCUACUGUUUGUGGUUAAUUUGAAAAUUGGUGGAGCCGAAAGCGUCUAAAAAUUUAUGCUGUUGGAAACGUUUAUCAUAGCUUUUCGAUGGUGUGGCCAUGAUUUUAGCAUUUGUAUACGAAUAAGUUCUUCUUGCAUGCAUGAAUCACUUUCUUCAAGUCACACUUUUUACGAACGACCCAGUCGAUACAAAACACUGAUGUGUUAUGCAUGACCUUUGGCAUCUUAUUAUUUAUUAAUUAUUUGUUUCAAGAAAAGAAAGGGGGAAAGAUUGGCAAAAUAGUUGCCUAUAAUUGUUAUUUGCAUGUAUAAUCAAAUGAAAAAUUAGCUUACCGAAAAAAAAGAGGUAUCACUAUUCGUUUGUGUUAUGAUUUAGGAGAUUAGAGGAAACUAAAAUAUUUAUAAUUGAAUAUCUCAGCUGACACAAGGUUCAGGCAAACUAUACCCCGCAGCCUUGUCGAGGAUGGAAAUGUGUUAUCUUUAAUAUGGAAAUGUGUUUCUUUAAUUUGAGCCACAUGAAUUAAAAAAAAAUAAACCGUCAAAAUUGAAGAAUAAAUUUCAUUUGUUAAUUCCUUAAAAUUGAAGAAUAAAUUUCAUUUGUUAAUUCAAUAAAAUAGUAAAAUCAUCUAUGAAUGAUAAUAAACCUUUAAUUGAAUUUUAUUUUAACUAUGUUAUUUUGCGAUGAAGAUUAAAUUAAUCAUAACUUGGUUCAAAAUAUUAUUCGACAUUGUAUUGGGUACUUUUUCAAAAUCAUAACUUGGUUCAAUAUGAAUUGGGCUUUUCUGUUGCAGAUGGAUACAUACACGAAGGCCCAAGAUGAUCCGAUGACAAAAUAUUAAUAAAACAUCAGUUCUCACUUACCCAAACGACGUGUUUUUUUAAAUUAAAAUUGAAUCACAACAAUUACACAAAUACAAAUAUCUUGCCGUGAACAUCUAGGUUUCUAAUAUUUGUGCACCAAAAAAAAGAAAAAGAAAAGAGAAAGAGAGAAGAAGAAGAAGAAAGAAACGUGCUGUUAGGCAAGUAGAGGAUUGAUGAAAGAGAACUAAACCUAAGCAAAUAGUGUGAACAAUCACAUAGCUAGAUAGAGAGCAUUGGAUCCCACUUGUGUUGUUUGUAAUCGUACUCCAUGUGCACCUUUUGAUUAUCAAUGCAUCCUAACUUCCAAACACCACACAUGCUCAUGCUUAAAUUAUCUUCAUCCAUCAUCUACAUGUGGAUUUGUUUUAAAAAAAAAAAAAAAAUUAGAACAUGAAUAAGGAGAUCUUGCCUUGCGAUAUUGAGAUGAGGUUCAUUUUCAUAAACUUGAAACUUGUAAUUUCAGAUAUCAAAUUUGUAAUCUUCAACAUGCUAAUAUGAUCAAUGCUGUUAAAAUUAUCAACAUGCUAAUCGGGUGUAUAUACUGCUCUAGAAACCCUAGUUUGAAGAAAACGUUUGAUAGGAAAGAUCAAAGAGAAUUGAUAAAGACUUGUGACCUAAUUACCGUAUAUUCUUAUGCAAGUAAAAUGCACGAGCAAUUAUUAAUAGCUAGAAAUGAAGGGAAAAAAAUAAAAUAAAAUUUGAAAAGCGUCGGUGUCAACUGCAAUAGCAAGUCCACGGCACAAGUCCAUCGUUGAAAGUUGAAACCGAGAUUUAAUUAAUACUAUUUAUACGAAUGAAUUUAUAUAUAUAUAUAUAAUCCGGUCAAAUGUUUGAUGUGUUAAUCAUUGAACGCGUUACUCCACUGCGAAUAGUUAAUUUCAUUGGCUUUUUGAAUUAGUCAUGAUAAUGGCCGUAAUUGAGUGAAAGAAGAAAGCAACUGCUUUAUUAUUUACUUAAAUAAUUAUCACAUUGUAAUAGAAGGAUCUCAUGUGUGUUAGCCUGGCAAAACGAAAUAAAUCACCUUGUUGUUUAACGCGUUAACAUUGUUUUUGAAGAAUAUAAAUUCACGACUCCGAAAAUUUUAAAUUAAUACACAAGUGUUUAUAAAUAUUGAAAGCAUGAAAAAUUCUUUGAAAUUGCGUGUAUGUGUGUCUAUCUAUAUAUAUAUAUAAAGUCUAUUUAAAAAAAGGCAAACAAUCUUAUUUAAAUAAAUUGUAAGUUUAAUUAAAUAUAUACACAAAUAUAUUAUUCAAACAUGGAUGAGAUUAAUUCAAUUUAUAAGACGAUUUUGAGACAGUACGAGAAUCUCACUCGUAUUAGGGUUCGAGGAGAGUUUAGCACUUUAAGGUUAGAAUCUAACUAAUACAAAUAAUAAUAUUAGUAGGAGGAAUUAAUUACUUUUAUUUAUUUAUUGUUUAAAAAACUACAUCAAUCAUGUUAAGUGCUAAAUUACCGGUUAAAAAUAUUAAACUAAUUACAAAACAAGUUACAUUAGAAGCUAAUGGUGUCGUGUUAAUCCACGCACGUGUGUGAUGCUUUGGCUUAAUCUUCAUCUAAAAUUAAUUAAUUUAAUCAUCACUAUCGUUGCACCCCAUGAAGCAGUCUCCAAUAUUAAAAAAAUGAGUAAUGAUACAGUCACAAACUCUUGUACAAAUUUAUUUUGUACAAACUGAUGUGGCAUUAAUUUAUUGGUGGAAUGAAAUAUAAAAUAAUAAAAACAAAUCAUGUGGGCCAAGUGAUAUUUAAUUCAACCAAUCUUAUCAUGCCACAUCAAUUUGUACAAAAUAAGUUUGUACAAGAGUUUGUGGCUAUAUCAUUACUCUCAAAAAAUAAGUAAGUUCUGAUUAACAUUUUUUUUAAAAGCAUUAAAAUAUAAUUAGUCUUUUGUUUUUACACGAAUUUAUUUAACCCAAAAGGAAAGUUUAAUUAACUGUAGUAGUUUGGAGUAUCCUAAGAACUUGUUUGGCGAUGUCCUUCGAUUUGGGAUCACGCUUUUGUAUAUUAUUGACUCCUGUGUACGGCAUUCACGGAAUCAAAUGCAACUGGUCAAACAAGGAAUUAUAUUCCAACACAUCAUCAUGUAUAAUCAUUAUUAAUAAUCCUCUAAUUCUUCAUUUAAGAAAGCUAAAAAAGUCAUGUACUAUUUAACAAAACCAAAAUAAGAAACUUUAGUAAUUUUAUAUGAUUUAUUGAACAAAUUUACCCCAGUUAGAAUAGAAAACCUAAUCUAAAACAGAACAGAACAGAAAAAUUAUCGAAAUUAGUUUGCAUUUUGACUAAAUGAUUUUUUUUUUCAAGAAUUUUACUCAAUUCUUUUUUUUUUUUUUCCAUUUUAAACGUAGGUUAUUAAAUCCCCAAGAGGCGAGAGGGCUGAAUUGAUCCAUAAUUUAUGUUUCAUUAAUUCAUCGUGAAUCACGAUAUUCAAAUAAGGAAGCACGGAGGGCAUUUCCCACAAAGAAUUGUUGGACGACUUAGAAUUCAUUUAUCACGAUUCACGAUAUACACAUCAAAUCAAAUCAAAAUCCAUUAAUUGCUACAGAAAACGGACUUUCAAAAAAGUGCUUAAAGAAAAAGCUAAGCUAGGUUAUGAAUUUAUUUCAAAGGACCCCCAAACAAGACCUUGAGCUCCACGGAUAAGUCUUUGCCAUGUUAGCGGCGACGGGUGCAUACGACACAUCGUUAUCAAUUUAUUAAGACUCCACGUUCUGUACAGAAGCUUAAUCAGCUGAGAAAGCUAAAGCUAGCUGCAACGACUUAAUUGAUUGGAGAGGAUGCCCCACCAAACAAACAAAUCCUUACCAUAAAUUGCUGUCUAAGGGAAGUGCUUUCGGCCGUGAAUGAAUAAGUCCAGUUAGAGAGACAAAGUUUCGGGAUCAUGAUUUGGGCUUUCUUGUGCAUGGAGAUUUUUUUUUCUUUUUCUUUUUUUUUUCCAAAAACCAUGCAAAUUAAAUUGUUACGAGUGUAAGCCUAACCUCCACUCUCGACACAUGGCCAGCUGGCUAUUUGUUUUCAUUUUGUUUUCCUUUUAGGGACAUUUAAACUAGAUUUUAUACACAUUAAUGCUUGGAAAAUCUUACAUUUUUCCAUUUUAAUUAUCCGUAUGUACUAUAUAUGUUAACAAAAUAUCUCUCUUUCAGAUCUUCGUACUUUACAAAGAUAUAUUCGAAAAAUAUAACGGUGACUUCUUUAAUUUGUUGUAAAAUUGCGAAGCUCAUUAAUCUAACUCAUCGUAGAUUAUUUUUAACUGAUAUAAGAUUACCCCCUUAACAAAAAUAAUGUGGUAUUGUUCGACGAUGUAUUUUAUAAACUUUGAACAUCUAAAAAAAAAAAAGAAGAACUAUAUAUAGCGAUAAAUUAUUUUGACAAAAUAAUUAAAGAAGUGAAUACAUAUUAUAUUCCAAAAUUUUCUUGAACUUUUUUAAUUAUGAAUGGAAAACCAAUCCAUGACAAAAUAAUAACAUUUCUUAAAAGCCAUUUGUAAGAUCUUCAUUUUAUGUUUUAAAAAUAUUAUUUAUAAAAGUAAGAAAACAAUGUAGUAGCAUUUAUUACUUUUUUUUUUGGAGAUCAAGAUUCUGUCAUGAUCUAAUACUUUAUUUAAGCUAGUAAAUUUAUAUAUUGGUGGUUAAUACAUGAGAAUAUAAAAAUUGAGUAAAUUUUGAUUAUACAUAAAUAAAAGUAUAUAUGUGUUAAAAGAUCUCAAAUGUGAUGAGAGGAUGUUUAUUGAAUAUUAUUAGCCAUGGUAAGAUCCAAAAUUAAUAAUUAAUAAUUACUAAUAAACUAUUUCAUCAAGUAACUUUUGAACACACCCAUGACCCCCCUUGAUCGCUUUAUUUGCUUUCCACUACUUAUUUUUCCUCCUCCUCAAUCACGUCUUUACUCUACUUUGAUACCAAAGUAAGGGAGAUGAACUCAUGACUUUGAUUAAAUCUUUUGUACGGAAUGUGUAAAAUUUCAACUUUCAACAACACAUAUUCUCUUUUUUUUUCUCUUUUUUUUUUUUUUUUUUUGUCUUUCACACGUAAUUUCUUCGUGCAAGAAUUUCAAGCAGAUCUCACUUUUUAAAAAAAAAAAAACUUUUUAAUAUUCUUUAUACACGUGUGAUUAAUUGCAAAACAUCGUUGAAAUGCUACCAAGUUAAACAACGUCAAAAGUUUAAGUCGAUUUGAUUUUUUGGGGAAAAUUUUGGACAUAUUAUAUAAUUCGGUGUCAAUUACAAGUAAUUGGUAAUGUUGCCAAUUUUUUAUUUUUUAUUUUUAUUUGAAAUUAAUUCUUUUGACAAUUAUCAAAGUUGCAUGGAGCAUGCAAAUCAGGAACUCUUCUUCUAACAAAGCACGUGCGCUCACACGUCACCCAUGAUACUUGUCUUGUCUAUGGACUAUGGUCCACGGUGUGUGAUUAAAAAACUUACCCUUAUCUAUUCUGAAUUUGAUCAAAGGUAAACAAGAAACUCCUUUUAGAUUUUUCCCCCUUUCGACUUUAAAUUCGUUUUUAAUUCUUUAAAAUGAUUUAAGAUGAUUUUAAAAACAAUCACUUUUUUAUGUAUCAACCCAACUUCUAUGCAUAUAAUAAUCCUAAAAGUUACAAUGAUUCAUAUAUGAUUUUUAGUUUACUCAAAUUAGGUCCGUUUUGAGAGAGACUGACUAUAUUAUAACCGUAAUUAAUUCCCAAUGAGAUGCCAUUGUAUUUUAUUUAUUACAAUAAUUGCAUCUCAUGGACAUUAUUACUGUGAGGUUUUAUCAAAUCAACCAACAACGAUACCAUGGAAAGUCUUAGGUCAAAUAAUGCGGUUAAGGUAUUUUCAGUUAUUGGUAACAAUUUUUUUUUAUAAAAAUAACUCAUGCAUUCACGAAAUAAGCGUGGACUAAACAGGUGAUAAUUAAAACAUGUGGUGUGGUUUCAUUAAUAAGCGUGUAAUAAGCUUUUCUACCUAACAUAUAUUUUUUUUCACGAAUUAAGUAGAAACAAUAGCCCUUGAUGAGAGAGGGAUGUUUCAAAAGACAGAAAGAUAUCGAAAAAGAUGAUUGGUUUAAUUUUGAGGUAGCAAAGAAUUAAUCAAGUCGAUAAAAGAGAGAACACAUACAAUUUCUAUAAUUGUGUAGUUAGGUCAUUUAAGUGUACGAUCGACAGCACCUGACUUCUUAGGCGGUGUUUGGUUUUAAGAAAGGGGAGGAGAGGAAAAGAGUAGAAUGGAGGGGAAAGGAGAAGAGAGGAGUGGAAUAGAAUAGUGAAAUUAAAUUUCAUUGUUUGGUUUGACAUAAAAUUUGAUAGGGAAAAGAAUUACAAUUUUUUUCUUUGCACAAAUUUAUCAUUUACCUUAAAUACUAAAUUAUCUUAUUACUAAUAAAAUAUAACUUAAUAUUAAUACCAAACUUUUUUAAUUUCAAAAAGUUCCAAAACAAUUCAUGAUUUAUAUUUAUAUUUAAUAUAAAAUAAUUUAAUAUACUAAACUAUUUGGUUGAAGGGCAAUUUUGAAAUGUUGGGUUUUCAACAUAAGAAGAAUUUAAAUUCUUCACUCUUUGAUGUGGAAUUCAAAUUUUACAUUAUAAGAGAUAUUAAAUUCUAAUAGAAAUUAAAUUAUUAUAUAUUUUGUGCAACCAAAUAAUGUAAAUAAAAGUAGAAUUUGAAUUACUUUCCUCUUCCACAUUCUCUCCUCCCAACCAAACAUCACCUUAGUACAUUUACAUUUCUCUGAACCACACAUUUAUUGGUAUUCUUUAAUCAAAGUUUCUUUAUCAGUUAUCAUUAAUAAAAUUUCUAACUGUUCGACUAACUGAUUUCGGUAAUUAGUGAAUGAUCACGAUUUCUCUUUAGAAAUUGUCAUCCCUGUGAAAAUUUAUGAAUUAAUAUUAUAAGCAAAUGAAUUAGAAAAUAGACACAGUAAAUAUAAUGAAAGGGUUGGAUUUAGUUUAGUGGUAAAUUUGAGUUAAUUCCUCGGGGUGGGUAGAUCUAAGCCGAGACCGAAAAAAUAAUCGUUUCAAUUUAAUUUUUUUUUUAGUUCUGAUUGGUUUAUUCCUUCGUUAUAACUAAAGAAAAUCAGUUCGAUUUUUGGUUCUUAAUCUUAGAACCAAAAAAUUUGAUUUUUUUUUUUUUUUUUGUAAUUCUACAGGUUCAACAUAUGUCGUGUUUUCGUUGGUAGGUUAAAAAGUCAAUAAACCAAAAUAAAAAACCAAAAUGCUGAACCAAUUGAUUCCAUAUUUAGGUUUUUAUUUAUUUAUUUUUUUGUUCCUUAAAAAAAAACAAUUGAUGUGAAUCAAAGCAAUUCAAUUUGGUCCAAUCUAAAAACCGAACCGUGCUCACCCUUGAUUCUCUUUUAGUCUUUAAGGUUAAAAAUAACGUGAAAUAUCUUUAUCCUUACUUAUGUUAGUGUUGAAUGUUAUAUUUUAAAGAUUGAAAAACUACUUUUCGAUGAAAAAUAGAAAACAUUAACAUUUAACAAUAAUAUAAAUAAAGAUCAAAAUAUGUUAAAUUAUUUGUAAAAUAGGAGAAUCAAUUUGAAAUUGUUAAAAAAAAAAAUUACCCACCAAAAUUUUUUGCACAUACAUUUUUUAAUGUGUAAUAGUUCAUCUGAAUUGUAUGGAUUACAAAUAAUCCGUUAUUUUUCUAAUAAGAUAAACUCUCCAACACACUAUUAAUUAAAAAAAAAAUCAAUAGAAUAAAACUCUUAACCAAAAGGAUUAAUUGCACAAUCUAAUAUAUAGUAAAAGGUCAAAUCGUCCUCCUUUAUAAAUGAUGAUUUUAAUUUUAUUUCUUUGAAAAUAAAUUCAGGAAGCUUCAUUAAUCCUUAGCCUUCAAUAAUCCAUAUUCAAAUGAUUCUGAUUAGGGUCUUGCUUUGUGAUUUUCUCAAAUUGCAAGCCCGCAGGUUUCAAUUUUAUAUAAGGCCUCGCCUGCUUGCUUUGAAUUGUCAAAAUAAAACUAAAUAAAGCAGAAUGAGUCUUGCCUGCAUCUUUACUUUAUUUUGGGGGGGAAAAAUCUCACAGAAUUAGUAUAAUGCAUUGACUGAAAAUAAAGAAAAAAACAAAAAGAAUCUCUUCAAAAGCCUUCAGAUUUUGGCAUAUAAUAUUAAUGCAUUGGUUGAAAUUUUAAUAAGCUUUCCAAGAUUCCUGCAAUAAGGGCCCUUUCAUCAUCUUAAUUGUCUGCCAAAAUGUAUUAUCGAUCAGUAGGACGGCAUGAUGACAAUUAUUUCUAAAUAAUUAAUCUUAGUUUAUAUAUUUAACUCCCCAAAUGUGUUUUUGGUGGUGUAAAAAAACAUUUUGAAACAUAGUAAUUAAAUGCAUAUUCUUGAUCUUUCAUAAAAGUAAGGGAUUUAUGUAAUUUAUAGGCUCCUACCAAUCUUAGUGUGCUCUGUUGGUUUGACUUAUUAAACAAUCAUAAAAAUUUAUUUAAUUUCAUAAACACUUUUUAAUAUUUUUGUUGUUAUUUAGUUGUAUUUUGAGUAUAGUUUUAAGGGAUUACAUAAGUUAUUUUGACUUUACUAACUCAAAUUUUAUACUUAUAGAAGUGGAGAUUGGAGAGCUUUUUCAAAAAGUUAAAUUGCCUCAAAUGCCAAAUAUUUAUUUCACAAUCUUAUUUCAUUCUUUUUAUAAUAUUAUUUUAAAAAUUUAUCUAUUAAAAUAAUUUAUAAUUAUUAAUAAAAGUCCUCAUUGAGAACCAAACAACUAAUUUAUUUUUUUUGUAAAAACUCUACUAAUAAAAAUUUUACUUAAAUAAACUGUAUUUAAAAAAUUUAUACCAAACAUAUCCUUAGUCCUCACAUUCUAUGAAGUUAGUAAUAACAAUUUCGUGAUCAUGAAGUAAACAAAUUACAAAGAAAAACUUACCUCUAAGAAACUUCUUAUUGAAUAAUCUUUCUUUGAUUUAUAGUUACCAUUUCAUUGUCUUCAAUUAAGAUUAUGCAAAUAAAGUAUAUUUCGAUUUUCCGUUCCGUACAAAUAAAAUUCUAAUUCAAAACAUCUAAAUUUGUCAUGAACCACGUGUUUAGGUUGAGUUGGUAUUUGCUAGACGUUUAAAAUUCUACUUUAAAUGACGUGUUAUCAAGGGAAUUUCCUACAACAUAUCACCUACCAAGUUGAUAAAUGCGAUUGCAUUUGAGAAAAAAUUUUUAGUAUGAAAUUUAAAAGUCUAUCACUUAUUUGUCCUAUAGUAAUCAUAUAUCUCAAUUGUGAUUAGACAUUGUAUUCAAUUUAACUCUCAAUAACUCGUCUUUAACGACAUGGCACUCGAUUUAACAGAUAAUUUUUUUUUUGGAAUUGAUCACUUCACACCAAUCUUAAAUGAGUUACACUAAAUUUUGAUUAAAAAAAAUUCCAAUUCGAGAAGAUAAAAAUGUAAAAAAAUAAAAAUAAAUCAACAUUAAACUAGAGGUAAGUGUAUAAUAUUCGCUUAAUCCUUGGUAAAAUUUUAAUCGUUUGAUCGAUUGUCUACUGUAAUAGGGUGUCUAAAUUCAUCAUCCCGCCUUUUUAUGAAUCAAUUAAUGAAUUUUACUGUUGGCUGAAUGAACUUAUUUUUUAAAGAAUAGGUUCGUACCGAAUUUUAAAGUGAAAAAUUUGACAACACGAUGAUAAAAUAAUUAUAAAAUUAUGCGGUGUAAUAAUAUUAAGUAAAAAAUUAUCACAUUUUUUUUAUAAAAUUUUAUAAUUACUUUCGUUGCUGUUGUGUCGCUGCUAGGAUAUUUAUCAUUUUUCAAAUUAGACAUGCAUCUUCUUUCGUUAUCAUUGUUAUUUUUCUACAAAGACGCGAAGAAAAUGAAGGGUUUGCUUAGAUUAUUCUUACCAACGCUAUAAAGAAUUAAAAAGUUCAUAAAAUCUUGAUCGACCCAUACGUGGGGGGGGUACGUUACCUGUAGGAUCCCACUGACACGGUAGUGAAAGCCGAAAAUGUAAGUGAAAAGUAAAAAGACAGAAAAAUUAUUAAAACUUGUUUAUGUAAUAAAGUUGUCAAGAGUUGAGCAUGAAAGUGAGGUGGGAUCCACCAAUAAAGUGUUGGCUCCAUUGGUAAUGGAGUCCUCUUAAGUGGUUUGAUUGGGUUUGUUUCUCAGUUCGAGUCGCAGGAAAGUCGCAUUUAUUGGGAGAACCUGUGCCUCUCGGUUCGAGCGGGGACUUCUAAUCUGAAUUGUGGUACGGGCUUAAAGGUGUCUCCCACAGUUGAGACCCUCCCCAAGAUACCUCGGGGAUAAAAAAAAAAAAAAAAAGAAGUGAGGUGGAGUCCAUGUUUGACCCCAGUUUACAAAAAAAAAAAAUCAAAUAUUCAAAAUUUUGCAGGGCUCUCUCUUUAGACUCUUUUACUUCAAUAACUUUGCAAUUUUGAGACGAGAGUGAGAGAACGGAGGGAAAGGGGAGAGAGAAAGCACCCCAAUAACUCUCUCUCUCUCUCUCUCUCUUUCAAACUCUCUCUGUCUGUCAUGUUCUUUUGGUGAGAUUUGAGUUGUUUUGGUUUCAAUAGUUUUGUUCUGUAAUGCUUUUUUUUAAUAUUUUUUUUCCUCUCUUCAAAAAUAUUUGGGUUGUGGCAACAAACAAAGCGUCUCUAUUAUAAAACUUUUUGUCUUUUUAACUUAACUCUCUCUCCCUCUCUCUCUCCAUCAUUCAUGUUACCAUUCAAUAAAUAAUCAAUGAUAUAACAACAGUUCAUCUUCAUUAUUUCCCAUUUCUCAUUUCAUUUUUUUUUCUCUUACAAGUUUUCCUUUUUUAUUUAUGAUAAAUAUUCAUCUUCCUCAUCACCCUUAUUCUCUCUCUCUCGCACACUCUUGUCUCAGAACUCAAACCAGGAAGACAUAAAAUGAUUAAAGGAUAGGCCACACCAAAGGAAAUCUUUUGUUACCAAGUAAGAGCUUUUUGUUUGAAAGAAUGAAUGGUCUCACACUUAUCGAGCCUGAUUGCUCUGAAUUUGUUGAAGUUGAUCCAACUGGAAGAUAUGGAAGAGUACUUACAAUUUGCCUUUCCCUCUAUAUAUCUUUGAGAUUAAUGUUUCAUUUUCUUUUUUGGGUUUAUUUAUUUCUUUAUUGUGUUUUGGUUGUUGCAGUAUAAUGAGAUUCUUGGGAAAGGAGCUUCUAAGACUGUGUAUGGUUCAAAAUUUUAAGCUUUUAUUGUGUUUUUUGUAGACCCAUUUGAGAUUUCUUCAGGAUUUGUGCAUCUUGAGCUUGUUUUGAUUGUUUUGAUGGAUACCCGUUUCAGAUUUUUUGAGAAAAAAUUGAGCUUUGAAAAAAUGGGAUUGUUGAUUGAUUUGUGAGAUGUGUGAUUGGUGUUUUUGUGAAAGCAGGUAUAGAGCAUUUGAUGAGUAUGAGGGGAUUGAAGUUGCUUGGAACCAGGUCAAGCUCUAUGAUUUCUUACAAAGCCCUGAAGAUCUUGAGAGACUCUACUGUGAAAUUCAUCUCCUUAAGACACUGAAGCACAAGAACAUUAUGAAAUUCUACACUUCUUGGGUUGAUACUGCUAAUAGGAACAUCAACUUUGUAACUGAAAUGUUCACUUCUGGGACUUUGAGACAGUAAGAUUUGUCAGAGUUGUAUAAUACUUCAUGAUUCUUGUCUUCUUCAAAUGCUAAUUUUGCAUUAUCAAAAGGAAAAAAAAUUUUGCUAAUUUUGUGUUGGGUUACUGAUGAUCAGAUUGCUGAAUGGCUUUAUGCAGGUAUAGGCUAAAGCACAAGAGAGUCAAUAUUAGAGCAGUGAAGCUUUGGUGUAGGCAGAUCUUGAGAGGACUUCUCUACCUCCAUAGCCAUGACCCUCCUGUGAUCCAUAGAGAUCUCAAGUGUGACAACAUUUUUGUUAAUGGAAAUCAAGGAGAAGUGAAGAUUGGCGAUCUGGGGCUUGCAGCAAUUCUCAGAAAAUCUCAUGCUGCUCACUGUGUUGGUAUGUUUCUCUGACUGGGAAAAACAGAAUCGAAUUAACUGGAAAUGAGCGGGGACAUUAAAUUUUUGCUGAUUUUUCCUUAAUAUGAAGUAAAUGUUGUUAAUCAUAGAUUUCCGAUCUUUAUGGAUUUUGAUUGGGUAUAUGGGGAUUAAUUUAGGUAGGUUGAAGUAUAUAUCAUGUUACUAUUCUUUCUACAGGGACACCAGAGUUCAUGGCUCCCGAAGUGUACGAAGAGGCAUAUAAUGAGUUAGUGGACAUAUAUUCAUUUGGCAUGUGCAUUUUGGAAAUGGUCACUUUUGAAUAUCCGUAUAGCGAAUGCACUCAUCCUGCUCAAAUUUACAAGAAAGUUGUAUCUGUAAGAGCACUCUUACCCUUUUUGUGAUUGAUAUGCUUUAUGCCUUAGAUGAACAGACUGAAUUCCAUUAACAUGCUUUAUUAAUGUAGGGUAAAAAACCAGAUUCUUUGUACAGAGUGAAGGAUCCUGAAGUUCGACGAUUUGUUGAGAAAUGUCUUGCAACUGUGUCUCUUAGGCUUUCUGCUAGGGAGUUGUUGAAUGACCCUUUUCUCCAAAUUGAUGAUUGCGAGUCCAAUUUGAGAUCACUUGACUACAGUAGAGAACUUGAUGAUAUGGAUCCUCUCAUAAGGCAACCGCAUAUUGAUUUUCAUCACAUUGACAAUUCCUUUAGUAAUGGAUGUGCUAAUGGGUAUGGCUAUGACACACCAAGUGAAUGGGGGUAUUCUCCUGUUGAGGUUGAAUCAAAUGGGAUUGAACUUUUUGGGUAUCAUGAUGAUGAUCAUUCUUCAGAUGUUGACAUCAGUAUCAAAGGGAAGAGGAGAGAUGAUGGUGGAAUCUUUUUAAGACUCAGAAUUGCUGACAAAGAAGGUUAGACAGCAUUUUCUUUCUCUGUCCUUUCUGUGAAAUUCCAUUGGAUUAUGAAGUUUUCCUUUGUAGUGGAAUUCAAUGCACAAGUUUUUUUAAAAAUUUUCUUUUCAGGUCGAAUCCGAAACAUAUAUUUCCCAUUUGAUGUUGAAACUGAUACAGCGUUGAGUGUGGCAACCGAAAUGGUUGCAGAGCUCGAUAUUACUGACCAGGAUGUGACUAAAAUAGCAGACAUGAUUGAUGGGGAGAUUGCUUCACUAGUACCUGAAUGGAGGCCAGGGCCAGGAAUAGAGGAAACUCCUCGAUUUGCAAAUCAAGGCUUCUGUCACAAUUGUGCUUCCAACCGUACCUCCACUGGUUCCCUCAUGGAAUAUUUUUCAAAUCCUUAUGGCACCAAUCUGCAACUCCUUCAAUGCUGUAGAAAUGGAUGUGCUUCAAUGCAUGGCCGGUUUGGAGAGAUUACAUUUGAUGUUGAUGAAUCUGAGCAUCAUGUGACUGACGGUGCACCAAAUGAAUCAAGCCAAUCAGACUGCUUACAUUACCAGGAAAUUUGGGGUCAACUUGAAAGCCGAGAGCUUAGUUCAGUGGACUCCAGACACAGCCAUUCUGAUGAAGAAUAUGAAAAAUUGGAUCAGUCAUUCGUAACUGAGGAUAAUAAAGAAACAAAAGUGGAGAGUGAAACUGCUCUAAAUGCCAGAAAUUCAACCAGACACUUAGUGAAUUCUCAUUCUUAUUCUGAGGUUCCUUCAGUGGAUUGUGACCAGUCGGACAAUCAUGAGAAAGAAAUCCAGCAAGAACUGAGAUGGCUCAAGGCAAAGUACAUGAUGGAACUAAGUGAACUUAGAGAACAACAAUUAGGCGUGGCAUCAAAGACUUCAAGUUACAGCAACAAAGAAAACAAUACAACUAAUGGCCGUUUGUCAUAUCCCAUAUCAAGCCCCACUCAAAGAGACAGAAAUGGAUUUCACUUGAACUUACCCACGGACAAGAAGCAUUUUAGUUCAAACUGCUCUGAUCGUAUCAAUAAGAGCUGCCCCAGUUUGGAUCCCCCAAUGGCCCGAUAUUGUGGGGCGAUAAAGGAAUCUCUUAGAACAGAGGAUACAGUUACAGCCACUCGUUUUCCCUCCGGAUCAUUGCUUCCUCCCUCUCUUCACAGGACAACAUCCCUCCCUGCUGAUGCUAUUGAUUUAUAAGUCAUUCGCGCUCCUUGAUUCUUUUGAAACGUUCAUAAACCUAAUAGAGUCUGUGUAAUUAUCAAUCCAUCCUUUUUGGGCAGGUUAUAUUCAGUGCACACCUCAAUGUUCUUCACUGCUGUUAGCUAGCUUAUUCUUCUCAAAACAUGCAUGCAUAUUACUGAAAUUCAAAAAGCAAUGUUAGUUCUCCACGUGGUGGUGCAGUUUUUGCAGCUUGACUAUUCUCAUUGCCCAUAUUAUUUACUUUGUCACGUCAAUUUAGAAAAGGGUUAUUAGAGCAGCUGCAUUGCUCUUGCUCCAGUAAUCAUGGCCUUAAUAAGCGGAAAUGCUACCAGUUGAGGCUUGUGGGAUAUCCAUGUGUUAUUACUUGCUUUAUAUGAAGUCAUAUGCUUAUGGCCAUGCCCAUGAUUCAUGAAGCCAUUAUUGAGGGAGAGAAUGGGAGAGUUAUGAAUCUUAUGAUUAAGUUAGAUGGCUGAUUCGCUGAAGAGGUGAAUUAUUGGUGACAUGGUGUGUCAGUUCUAGCUGGCCAAUGAGAAAUUUCCCUAAGAAAACCCUGCUAAGCUAUAUUUAUAUUCUAGACCCCACGAAUUUUCUGUCAAACUAUUGAGGAUAUUUCAAAAUGAAAGUAAGUUUAUGACCCCACCAAAAGCAUCAUAUUCCCAUCCACGUAUGCUAAUCAACUGGGUCUGGAUUUACCCACAUGAUCAAGAUCGGUUUCUUUAAUGGAAAAUGGUCCAUAAUGUGGACUACACAAACACAUCCUCGAUCACUUGGCCUUGACUUUUAAGGCAAAUAAAUAAUUAAAAUUCAGAAAAUGCAGGGUAGUCACCUCAUGCAUACUAGAUUUUUUUGUACAGAUAUUGUACUCUUUUCCGCACUUGGAUUCUAACUUUUCACAGUCAAUUCAAAUCACAUCAAGCUUUAUAUUGUUAAUUAAGAAAUGCGACUAGUCUUUCACUCGGAAUUGUCCAUUAAUCAUCUAGAAAAGUUUAUUCUAAAUUAUUUUAUGAGCCAAGUGGGCAUGAUUGAUUUUUUCUAAAUUCUACUUUACCAAAGAUUUGUUGCCUUCUCCAAUACUGAGAAAAAAAAAAAAAAGAUAAAUCGUCAAUGUCAGUAAUAGAGAUGACUGAUUCUUUAGCUUUACCAAGGAUUUUGUCGCCUUCUCAAGAAAAAGAUCAGGUAAAAUAUUCACUAAUAAAAUAUAGGAUCAUGAUCGAAGCCAAGUUCAUAUGAACUUAACUUUGAACUUUCAAGCAAGUGCUGGUGGGAAGCAAGACUAAUGACUAGACACAUGCUCCAUGGUUUGAGAUCUAGAGCUUGAAUUUUCACGGGAACCUUCCUUUAUAUUUGAGCAAAUUUUAUUCAUCAUUGUCCAAAAUAGGCUCUGAUAUUCAUACUAUAAAAAUAAAACUAAUUCAGGCAAGAUUUAGACAAAGUCUCGGUAGAUAUUAAAGAUGUUUCAAGCUAAACUAGUCGAUGCCCACGAAAGAAGAACUAAAUUUAUUCUAUCCCAACACAUGGAUGCUACUGGAAAUAAGAUUAAAUGCAUGACUUGCCUCGAAUGGUCAUUCCAAUUUGUUCAUCAGAAGUAACAAACAUUAUCAUUAUGUUAGUGACUAGCUUUGUGGGUUGUAUAUAUACGUGGAAUAGGGACAGUAUCCAUUUUACAGAGUGUGUGUGAGGCUAUGGGUGCUUUUGGGUUUAUUACCUUUUGAAUGAUUGAGAACUUUUUUCAUGUUUUUGCUCUCAUAUUUGAUAGUGUGAUCAUGACAAUGAAAGAAAGAAAGUUUCCCCUUUCCUUUUAAUUAAGAUUGUGAUAUGUGAAUAAACAUCCACAGAAGCAUAUAUGGAAAGUGGAAAGACUUGAGUCAUAAAGAAGUUGCUUUUUUAUUUUUUUUCUUAUGAAGUGAUUUUUACACCUGGGUAAUGUCAUAUUCGUUAAACUACUUUCUGAAAAAGAUUGCCUUGACUAGACCUCACGGUUGGAUGCGUUUGAAUUUCAUUUCUCCAACCCCCAAAAUCUCCAAAAUUUAGUAGACGUUGCAAUAAAAAUAUUUCAAGAGAAACAACCUAAUUUUGAUUGAUACAAGUGAAAGGUCUUGUUCUUGGACCAAACCCAUAAAUUUCUCAAUUGAACUUGAGGAAAGCCUUAAAAAGUUUGCUCUACAGCCCAAGUUUGGUGCACCUAACCAAAUAAUCAAGAACUGAUUGGCAUUGCAAUGUGAAUAGUAUCAGAAACAACUAGAAUCCUUCACCAUCAGUGUCCACAUCUCCGGCUUCAAGGCCAGGAGGAAAGAACGGGAUUAAAUAAAACAAUGUGCACAAAACUUCUUGUGACCAUCAACCAAGUUCCUGGCCACCUUAGUCUGGCGUAAUUCCACUAUUAGGGGUCAUCAUGACAACACUUGUUAGAAUUGAAGAGAAAGUCAGUGGUACGUCAACGGUGAUGUAGCAAAGCAAAUUAUUAAAUGUAUGGUCUGUAUAAUUAAAUUUAAUAUAACUUUUUUUAAAUAAUAAAAUACAUGAAUUAUGCCUCUUUUGUACUCUCUACCGACAAGAUUAUCCUCAGAUAAAGAAAAUACUUAAGAGACAAUAGUGUCUAGAAACUUCUGCUGAACCAAUGCUAUGAUGCGUCAAUGGGAAAAAGAGUGGCUCAAGAUUCAGAUGAUAAUAUAUCUCCAUAAGAAAAUAUAUUAAAUAAAAAGAAAAAAAAAAAGAAAUUACCAUGCCUCCAUCAGAGCCAAUUAUAAACAAGCGACUAUAUGCAUAUUAACUAUUCAUUAAAUGUGAAACUCCAAUGUUUAGGGGCGAUGGAUGGGAUAUACUUUAUUCGGAUUAAACACCAGAAAUUUACAAAACUGCACCACAUGGUAUCAUCCUCUUAUACUCUUCUGUACUCCCAACAAAGUUAUGGGUAGCCGUCACGAAUAUGAAGGAAAUUAGUUUCUUUUGUGAAGAAAAUAUUUAGCCUCUGUUUAUUUCGUCACAACAGAACACCCCCAAACCAAUUGCAAGAGAAGUUGCAUCUGUAUACAACUAUAAACAAUUUGUACUGUAUUCACAAUACCCAGAUCCAUAAAAUCUUAUUAUAGAGGCCUCAAUAGUGGGUAAUCUUCCAGUAGUUCCCUCUCUGACAGUGUGUCAUUUUCGUUCUGUGGUGUCCACAACACCUCUACUGCCUGUAUAGUAUUCAAAGCAACAUUAAAUGAUGAAAUUUAUAAUGUCAUAAUUUUAAGGAAUGUUUCUAUUUUUACCAUGAUUUUGCUUGAGGGAAUUGAAGCGAGCUUUUGCAAGGCUUCUUUUAAGUCUUCACUGCCGUUGAUGCUCGGCAGCUUAUGCACUCCUUCAGCAGCCACCAAGAUUGUUAUCUGCAAAUCCAAGAUAUAUGUCUGAUUUAGAAAAAAGAACAAAAUGAAAACUCAAGAGAGCCAAAGCGUAAAGUCAAAUUUCUAGUUCUUUACCAUCAGUCAACUCACUUAAGAAAGAUAAUGAGUUAAAUUUUUUGGAAUUUGUAGACAACAUACUACUAAUGCAUUGAAUUUUUGUAAUCAAGCAUGAAAGUUUGACAAUUCAAGGAUAAAAGCAUGAAUCCAAGUCUCCCACAAAUUUUCAAAAUAACUAAUUAAAGGAAAGUCUUCUGACACAGAGAACAGAGAACUUACCAUUCAAUUGAUUCCAUAUUGUUAUUUGUUUUUAAUGAGUAAUUCAUAGGAAUAACAGGCCCAUGUCAAUAAAUUUCAAAGUUUUUAAUGAGCGAUUUUCACCAUAGCUGAGUCACAGCAAUAGUUUUAAUUCUUUGUUAAACUAAAACACUCAUUUAAAUGAUUUUCGCUAAGGCAACUGGGCAUCACUUUUUCCAGCUAGUACAACCUUUCAAUAAUUAAGAAAUCAUAAACAACAGCUCCCUACCCAACAAACAGAAUAUAUUGAUCACUCCAACCUUAAAACAAUGCAAAAGCUCAAUGAUCCAGAAUGUUUUUCCACAUGAAAGUUCCCGAGGGUACAUUUAACAUGCCUCUACAAUAUGUGCAACUCCAGAGAAGGAACCUUACCACUAUGUACUCAUUGCUAAAUCCAUUAGCUCUUUGGCUGCUUGUGCUUUUCCUUCUAAUGCUGUUAACAUUAACAAGUGUCUCUUCAUUAAAUUUCCCUCUUUCUUCAAUAGAAAGUGUAUUGAAGCGUUUUUCCCCCUCCUCUACACUUCGCUUCACAUCCACCUUAAAAGAAAAGUGCACGGGAAUGAGCAUAAUAAUCCCAAUAUCAAAUAAAAAAAAUUCAUAAUACAACAAUCAGAAAGAAAAAAAUAACAAGCCUUGACAGAGAAAGUGUUACAGACACAAAAUAGCAAUGAAGGUACAGUACUCUAGACAAUGCCCAAUCCAAUACAUUCUCUGAUAUGAACAGUAGAAAGAACAAAUAUUCUCUAAUAUGUACAUUAGAAAUACCAAAGUCUCGAGGACCAAGAUCUCGAAACUGGAAACAAAUUUUCUCUAAUGAAUGCUGUUGAUUGAAGUUGACAGAAUUAAAGAGCAAGCGGCCUAUGUUCUGUUUAUUCUUUCUUACACCAAAGUUUCAAGUGAGAUAUACAAAACUAUGUGCCCUCCAUGACCUGUGGACUAAAUUGGAUAAGAUUGGACUUAUGUUUUGAGUAGUACAUGAUUCAGUUGGAAAGAAUUUUACAUUUAGUCAUUUAAUUUAUUUAAUUUUUUUCAGAAAUUAAAUAAAAUAAUUUUAACGUUUUAGAAAAUUGUUUAACUAUUUACUUAAUUCAACUGAAAACUACUUAAAAUAUUUGAACGAUAAUUCAAUUUAAUUAUUAAACAUUUUAAUAAUUUAUAAUAAUAAGAUUUAAAUAUAAAUAUGAUAAGAUUAUAAUAGAUUAUGUAUUAUAAUUAACUCAAAUUUUUAUUAAUAAUUAUUCAAAUCAAUGUGAAUGAAAAUUAUUAUUUAUGAUUUUGAAGAUUUUCAAUUCAAAUAACUCAUGAAUAUUUUAUUUAUAGGCCAAUAAAAAAUAUAUUAUUUCAGCUACAAAAAAUAAUCUUUCCUUUAUUACUGCAAUAACUAAUAAUUAUCAUUUAUAAUAAAAAUAUUUAUCCCCAUUCAUUGGAUAAGUUAUCCUAUGAGUAUCCCAUGAAAAGAGUAUUAAAAAAAUGGUGGGUGGGCCCACCGAAUUUAUCCUCGUCUCCUUGGUGUUUCCAAAAAUAGUUUUGCACAAAAAAAAAAUGAUAUAAUCCCCAUUUUUUAAUUUAUCCUACAACCAAACAUGCCCUAAAUAUCAUAAAUUAUUUUAGGAAUAUACUUGCAGCCAUGUGAAUACGAUUUUGUAAUGCACAAUUGGAACAUUUUUGGUCAGUGUAGAAAACAUGGGAUUGGAUCCAUCUUUUGGAAUAUUAAGAAUUGGAGGAUAUAUGGAGUGAAAAUAAACUAUGUCUACCUCCAUUUGGGGAUAAGCUAUGGAGAUGAAUGCUUCAAUUACAAAUUAAAAUAUUUAAUUAGUAAAAGAAUAAAUAGAUGUGGAGUGAAAAAUAAACCAUGUUUACCUCCAUUUUUGGGAUAUGUUGUGGAGAUGAAUGUUUCAAUUAUAAAUUAAAAUAUUUAAUAAGUAAAAGAACAAAUAGAUGUACUGCAUGAACUCAAGCACUACUAAAUAUAAUCUCUACUCCGACCCAAUUAUAUCUGGUUCAACCAUGCAUAAAAAACAUGCACUUAGAAAGAACAUGCAUUCUCAUAUACUGUGACAAUCACAUGCAUACAUGUACAAGAAAACACAAGACAGAUGUAUGCAUGUAAAUGCUACUUCCAAAUUAGAGGAAUACACACAUGACUAUCUGUGUAAUAGCAAAAACCCUAAUUGCUAUUUAUCUAUUUAUUUUUCUUGGUAAGAAACUAAACAAAGAAAAAGAAAUAAGCUACAAAACUGAGCUAACUGUUAACUUCAAUUCAAUCAUUUAGACAAACAGCCCAAACAUUCACUCAAAGAUGGCAGUUACACUUACAGAGGAAUAACCAGAGAUGCAAUAGUCAGGAUGCCGAAGCAAAGAUAGUGUUGUCUCUGCAAUCAAAAGAAGACUAUAAGAAACAACAUUUAGAUAGAUAACAAGCGUAACAAUGAGAAAGGUAUUCAACAUAUAUUAAGCUUACCUGUCAGUACAUAACUCAGACCCUCUGUGGUUGAUGUAUCUGCAACUUCAGCAAUUCGAUUAAGAUCCUUCUGAAGAGACCGCCCCAUGCCCAGCAACCCAACCUGAAAACACAAAAGGACAAUGAUUUCCGGAUAUCCAACUAAAUGCUAGAGCCCUCCAACUCAACCAUUUUCACUUAAAUGAAUAUCUAUUCUUGUUAAAGAGAUGUCAAUCCACCAAAAUCAUACAGAAGCUAAAAUGUAUCUUGUUAGAAAGCUUCAGUUCCAAAUAAUAUCAGUGUUUCUGAUUACAUGAAAACUUAAAAUGAUUACAUGAAAUCUCAAAUUGAAGUAUUGCAUCCAUGAGACAAAUACCAUUUUCCCAAGCAGUCAAACCUCUUACUUCACCCAACCCUUGAAUCUCUAAUAUUCUUGCUAACAUACUUACGGAAACAAGCCAAUUUUCAUCCUUUAUUAGAUGCUAGUCACAUACUAUAUUAUUGGCAUUCCGAAAAAAACCUUCUCAGAAAAUCACCAUGGUCAUUUCCCAGACACUCUCUGCGUAACCACCAACUUCAUACUAAAAUGAAAUGGAAGCUCAUGCAAGGCACAAUAAUCAAUUACUUAACCAACAAAAGAACCUAUUAUAUAUAUCAUCGAUCCACAAACAGAAACCUCAUAUUUAACUAUCAUACCAAAUCGUAAAAAACAACUGUAAUGCAUAUUAUCAAACUUACAACAUCUAAUCAACUAAUAUAAUCAAAGACGCAAAUCCAAUACCUGAAGCUUAAUAACACUAGUUUUGUCAGUAGCAGUCAACACACUCCCAUCCGACCGGUCCGAUAAGAACCCCGAAACCAAAACAAAAGCUGCAAAACCCAUCAGUAUCAAGAACAAACUCGACCCGGCACCCACCCCAACCCCAACUGCGGGACCCACGUAAAUCCCCCCACCGGCCCCACCAAACGGGGACGGAGCAUAAUACGGCGCCGAAGCAGAGAACCCAACCCUCGGCUCCACCAUGUAAGUCCUCGACGACGAGGAGGAAGAAUGCGACGAAAAUGACCUUCCCCCCAUUCUCCCACCCGACGCUGCAAAAGCUAAAUUGGGAUCCCAAGUUAACAGAAACCCUAACACAACCGCAAUAACUGCUGGUUUCUUUAGCGCCUGAAUUGAUUUAGAGAGGGCGUUGGUUAAAAUCUCAAGUGGGUCGAAAAACCGAUCUGGACUAGCGCUCGAAGUGGAUGAAGAUUCGAUGUUUUGGGGCCUGCAGAAGCAUUUGACUCCAUUGAAAUUGCGGGCGGUGGUGGUGCGUUGAAGGGUUCGAAAAUUGUUCAAAUUUGCGCUGAAUUUGGCGGGUCUGUGAGGGAACAGGCGGGGAUUGGGGCGCAAUUGUGUCCAUUUAAAUGCAUUCAAUUCUAACAACGAAGUGGCUGCCGCCAUGGAUUGCAGAGAGUGAAAUUUGAUUUGAUCUCGGGGAAUUCUUAUUGCGACUGUGUUGCGAGAUUUUUUUUCCCUUUAUUUGUUUUAAUUUAAGUUAGAGAUGAGGGCAAUCUGAGUGAUUGUGAAAUGGAGGGAGUUUUGGCCACAAGUCGAAAUGUA